UGUUUGUGCGUAUUACGUAUGACCUGGUUCCAUUAUUUAUUAUUCUGUUGGAAUAACCUGUCUGUGCGGUCUAUCGCAUGCCUGGUGAAUUCUGUUGUUAUUCCAUUCUUUAUUAUUCUGUUGGAAUAACCUGUCUGUGCGGUCUAUCGCAUGCCUGGUGAAUUCUGUUGUUAUUCCAUUCUUUAUUAUUCUGUUGGAAUAUCAUGCCUGUGCGAAUUUCGUAUGACCUGGUUCCAUUCUUUAUUAUUCUGUUGGAAAUAACUCGUCUGUGCGGUCUAUUGCAUACAUGGUGAAAUUCUUCUGUUAUUCCAUUCUUUAUUAUUCUGUUGGAAUAACAUGUCUAUGUGGAUUACCACAUGCAUGGUGAAUGAUCCUUUGUAUUCAUUCCUUAUUAAAUUAUGAAAAUGAUCUGUCUACGUGGAUUAUCGCAUAGCGGGCGAAAAUCCAUUUGCAGUUUCAUAUAUUCUAUUAUACUCAGUUGGUUAAAGUUUUGGCUUCUAUACUCCAUUAAAUUAGUAGAAUAUCCUGGAUAUUUACGCUUCAUCGAGUAUAUUUUCAUGGAAAUAUUUUUCUGAACAUUCUUGAAUUUUACUCCACAAAGCAGUAUCAUGUUGACAAUUUGGACGUUUUUGAGUUCAUGAUAAAUUAACUUAUAAAUCUUUAAAAUUUAAUUCUUGAACUUGUUUUAUUGAAUUAUUAUGUCAUUGUCAUCAUCCUCAUGUUUAUAUUAUGUUGAAAGUCAUUUGUGGCCUGUAGUGCAUAGAUGGACUUGGUAUGAUUAUGACCAGGGAUUAUUCGGUAUAGUCAUGACCGUAAUGUUACAAAUGAUGUGGUAAAAGUCCUCAUUGGCCCGUAGUGCAUUGAUGGACAGUUGAUGGAAUGAUCAUGACCAUUGAUGAAAACACGAAUAUCCUUGGCCCGUAGUGCAUGGAUAAUUUGUGGUCGUGAUACUAAUGAAUAUCCUUGGCCGUAGUGCAGGGAUGACGUGGUUUAUUUAAUAAGCUGAGUCUCAGCGAUAAAAGUGAUGAAAAACCUUUUAAAUCAUAGAAGAUAGUAGAUUUUAUUCUCUACUUGACUCUUCUAAUGGAUUGCUUGUUCCGCUGCAGUUAAACUUGAUGUUUGUUAUAUUUUAUCAGUUUAACACUGUUGAAGGCUAACGAUAAUUUAUUCUGCAUUAUCUUAGUCAUAAUAUUUCUUACUGGGCUAGUUGAGCUCACCCUUUUGCUUUCAUUGUUCUCUUCAGGAAAUGAGAACGUAGCAGGGACUAGUCGGGGAACGGAGUGACGGUCCAGAUGAUAGCAUUAGUAGUCCUCACUAUUCUGUUAAAUAGUGUGAUAAUAAAUGUAAUGAGGACUCCAUUGAGUGUGGAUAUUGUCUAGAUGACAAUAUUUGUAUUAAAACUCACAUCAUAUGUUUUGUCGUAUUUUACACGACAGUUGUAUCAUUAAGUUUUUAUUUGUAUUUUGUACCAUGUAUUUGGCGACUCAAGAUGGGUGAUGUAUACCUAUUUUGGGGGCGUCACAGCUUUUAUAAACAUGCAUAUAGUCUUAGCCGAAUCAAAUGGCAUCGACUCUUUCACCAUAUUCAAGAACAAUACUAAGUUCAAUAUGAAUAAUAACUUUCAUAAGGGUUUAAGCAUGUUAGCUCAUUUGAACGAGAAAGUAAUAUAACUUGUAUUCAAAUAGAUAAGUUUACGGUAUUCGUUGAAUAAAGAAUGCAAUUAUACUUGCACAAUAAGAGUAGGGUUCAAAUACUUGCUCAAUAUAAAUUUGUAGUUUAUCCACGUUAAUAACUCAACACUUUCGAAUCCUAUUUAUAGCGUAUUAUAUGAUCAAGAUAUUCAUUAGCUAACACGGUCUUUAAACAAGCUUGACAUGAUUCAAGUAUGUACAUAUGGUAUAAAAAUCAGUUUAUAAGUCAUCACAAAUACAACGACGUCAUGAUUGCUAAAUUUCUUGAAGACAUUCUUCAGACUUAACAUUUGGAAGUUAUGUUCAACAUUUUUCUUUAUCACAUAACAUGCUUCUUAACAUAUUAUAUAGCUUAUUGGUCAUAUAAGAUAAGUUAAAGUAAUCCUAUAGGGAUGCUUCAACAUCAGUUUCAAAAACAGAAUGCAUAACUCAAGGUUCCAGACUGGCGCAGUUGCGCCAUGGCUAAGCCUAGGACCGGCGCAGCUGCGCUGUCCUCUGACCCAGCCAAAACUCAGCUGCUACCUUGUGGUCUCUGUCCGGUCUUGAACACACAAUCAUACAUAAUGUAUUUUGAUAUGUUAAGGGUCCUUUCAUGCUUAUCAAGUAAAUCUAGGUUCCCUCUUUAUCAGGGGUGAUCAUUCGGUUAUAACCGAACCGAAUAGGCUAUUCGGUUAUAACCGAAUACCGAAAUAUUCCUAAUUUCAAUAUCCGAACUAAUAACCGAAUUUUGGUAAUAACUGAAUAACCGAAUAACCGAAUACUGAAUUAUCGAAUUACCGAAUUAUAAAUUCGGUAAUUCGGGUAAUAACCGAACACUGCUAUAAAAAAUAACACCCAAAAUUAUGAUUCCACAAAAUGCCCAAAUCGACUCUGAUGUUAUCCAUACCAAAACAAAGGACGGAGAAAAUGGGUGUACCACAUGAAGCUAACCGGGUGUACCGCAUAAGCUUUGAGGUCUUCUUUGGAGUUGUGGCGGCUGUGGAGCAUGUGAGUGAAGGUGAGGGGGGGAGAAAUGGGUGCGGAGGAGCGGACCGGCGGUGGGUGUGGAGGAGCGGACUGGCGGUGGGUGUGGAGGAGCGGACCGGUGGAGACUUUUUCGUGAUCGGUAUGGGGUUUGAUUUUGAAGAUGACUAUGUUCAAUGAUUUAGAGAAUUGGAGAAUGGAGAUCUGAGAAGUCUGGGGCAGUGAAGCACUGAAGCUAGCUGGCUACUUUAUUAAAAGGAGCUUUAUGAUGUAAAGUAGACCAUAAGUAGUCAGUAGAGGUAGAGCAGUUUUAUUUAGUAAAGUAUACAACUAUACAAGUAGUGCAUAAUUAAGGCUUUGUUCGGUUAUAAUGUUGUUUCAACUUUGCAAAGAUUUAUUUGGUUAUUUGGUUAAACCAAAUAACCCAAAAGUAAAACCCGUACAAACUAACCGAAAACCGUAAAUAAUUUCGGAUAUAACCGAAAUGUUAAAAAUAACCGAAUUAUCAGAAAAUUUCGGUUAAAUUAUUUCGGUUCGGUUCGGUAAUUCGGUUAUAUCUAUUUUUUGCUCAGACCUACUCUUUAUGAUACAUUUCUAAUUUAAACAUUUCAACAAGUUAAGGCCAUUCAAGGUCAUGAACUCACAAAGUCUAUCAUGCUUUCUCUCUAAACAUUUAAGAUAGUCACAAAGUUCAUAUUAGGCAUGCUUAUGAGUAUUCAUAACGUAUAUGUGAAACUAACACCACUUUAGUUGAAGAUAGGCUUCGUUCAUGAUUUUCUUGAAAUAUGACACACAUGCACGGUAUAUAUACGUUUAUGCUACAUAAGUGAGUUUAAGAGUGUCAUCAAACAUGAUCGCAAAUGUCAAAUUCUAGUCCUCAUAGUAGCUUGACAAUAUUCACAUUCAAUGCUUACUAGUAGGUUCAACAUGUUCAUGCUUGCUUAUUAACCUAAUAAACACCAUCUAAAGGUUUAUUCAUGCAUUUCUAGGUCAUACUAACAUGCUUCCAAAGUCAGAAUAUAAAUCAUGUAGAAAUCAUACAUGUUAGCUCACUAGGCUAAGCUUUUCUUGAAAAUAUUUUUAACACAAAGCUUAAUAAGUUUGAUCAUGCUCAAAGGAACUACGUACACUAUAACAUGCUCAUUUAAGUGUAAAAUCAGUCAUGUAUAGCUUACUAGGUUCACAAUUUGCAAAACACGAUCUCUAACAUAGUUUAUUUUCAAAACUUAAAGUCCAAAUCUCCAUUUAAACUAUAUGCCUUCAUUAAUCAUGCAAGUAUAUUAAAACAUGCCCAACUUAGAUUCAUAUACUUAUAUAUACACUCUAAUCAUGCUUUCAUGCUAGUUUAAGCCAUAAUGGUUGAUCAACACAUAGCAUAUUUCAAAACAGAAGUUCAAACUGACUGCAGCAACCGGCGUAGCUAUGCUGCGCCUUAGUAUUAAUAUGGCACAGCUGCGCCAUGCCUUGUUCGAACCAGGAACAGUGAACCUCGGCAACUGCUCAUCCCAAACACAUAAUUUACUCACGAAUUCACUCUUAAACACUCAUGUAUCACUUGCAACAUGCUUAUAUGAUCAUAUAACAUCUAUAUAAACCAUACCCAACCUCAUUAACAUCUAUCUUCAUGAAUUCAAGAAUUUGAAUUUUAAGAACUCAAGAACUCUGUUUAACAGAAACGGAAAUGGAAAGCAAGGAAUGGAAUUAUACCUUCGUAAUGUGCAAUGAAUUUGCUCAAACUGAACUCUCAAGCUCUUAGAAUGCUCUCACUCUACUACUUAGCAAUUUAUCAGACAACUCAAGUAACAUAGAGAAUGAAGGGAAGUGUUCAUUUUAUAGAAAAUUCAUUGACCAUGCCAAGCCAUUAUCCAAGAAAUCAAACUAAAGGAUGGAAGAAUUGCAUUAAGGCUAAUAAGAAGUUGGUAAUUAGUUGUUGGUUUGCAUCAUGACCACCACUCCUCCCAUGAUCAUUGGCUAGAAAGCUUGGAAGAAAAAUGAAGAACAUAGGCCUUAGCCUUUUGCUCUUACACGUGACUGAGAAUUUGGAAGUGAACGGGACUCUCAAUUUGGGACAAUCCAAUAUAAUUUAGCAUUCUUGUAUACUCCUACAAAUCCUCACUCUUAUGUUAUAUUUUAAUACACAUCUCAACCAUAUUUUAUAACCUAAUGUCACAAUAUGACUUAACAUCUCAAGGUAGUAGAUGUUAUGCAACAUACAUAUAAUUCAUGUACAUUUUAUCACACUGGUACAUUUUAUUAAAAUGAUAGUCUACAAUAUGCUCAUGUUAUAUUAUUUUAAUACAUACCCACAUACAUUUUGUCACAUAGAUAAUGUAUUUAUAACAUAUAGUUUCAAUAUAUUUACUCACAUUGCCCCAUACAAUAUAGUUUUGUAAGACUUAAUAUAUAGCCACAUAAAUGUCACACUGCACUAUAUAGUAUGGUUGUAUAUGCUCAUAUGCACAUAACUGUCAAUAUAAUAUUAUUAUAUUAAUAACUUACUUAUUUAUGUUAAAUAAAUAAAUUAUGCACUUUCUUACUUAAUUAACACCAAUAUUAAUUAAUCCAACCAUUGAUUAAUGUAUUUAUGGAUUUCCAUAAUCAUUAUUCAUCUUUAUAAUAUAUUGCAAAUAAUAGUAAUCACACAUUAUUAGUUGAUUACUAAAAAUUCAAUAUUCUACCACAACCAUCAUCACCAAUUAAUUAAUAUAACAGUUAACAAUUAAUAUUACUUAAUUACGCACUUUAUUUCAUAGUUUAUUAAUGUCCCACACAUCACAUAAUUGUUUUAUUAAAUUUUCCGAAGUAGAAGAAUUAAUUUUUCUCCCACUGACCACUGGCGCAGCUGCGCCAGUUUGUACUGCUGGGACGGCGCAGCUGCUCCGUGCCAAGAUUGGUUUAGCUUAAGCCAGUGUCAACCCCUAUCGCCAUACUCGUCCUACACGACAUGAAUUAAUGUCCACAAGAGAGUUACUACGAGUCUACGAGUGUAUUGAUUACUUAUAUGAAGUCAUCUUAUCAACAUGAUUAAUCUUCUUAAUCCUCGUUUUAAUCUAUUUAAUGGAUUUCCUCUUUUCACAUUAUGCCACACAAGGCAUUUCACAAUCCUCAUUGUCACUUCACACAUCUUAAUACGCAUUGAUCUAAUACGAAUUAAUUGAAUUAACCAACUCACAAAAUAAUAACACUUUUAUUGACAAAAAUUUUAUUUCCAUUAAUAUAUUCAUUUAAUAAUACAUGGAAAUUCUUGGGUAUUACACCUUAUGUCAAGGAACAAAUACAUAACAUGCUCUCAGUCCAACAAUAACAGAAUCACAAUUUAUGACUCGGUCAAAGCUUGUCAGACGGCCUGUUAUUAUAGUUUCUAGAAAUCCCAGAAACGUGAUCCGUGUUCAUCUGACCUAUUUUGACCACUUAUUACAAUCGAUCUGUUGAUGUUUUAAAGGAUCUUAAGGCAUGGGUCUACAGUCUAGACAACAGGCUACAAAUAUGUUACAACAACAUCAACAAACAACAUCAUGCCUGACAUAUCUGGACGUUACAAAAACUUGUCAGACCUGGUUACAUGAUUUCUGGGUUACCCAAAAAUCAGUCGGUCAAGCUCGGUCAACGGGGUUUGACCGUUAAUAACUUAUGAUCUAGACAUGUAAUCGCUGUGAUUCGACUUCCAGAUCAAAGAACACAUAUCAAACUACAGAUCUAAAACAUAAAAUAUCAAAAGGCAUGAACAGUCAAGAAUCUAGAGCCACUGUCAUUGCUUGUCAGACCACUAUGAAUGUUCUUGAGCAGUUUUUGAAAAACACCAUUUUAAAGCAUUUUGAUGUUAUGGAUCUAUUAUAGAUCAUCAUAAAACAUCCUUUAGCAAGAUUCUAAACACAUAAACACAUAUUCUAACUAAGCAUACAAGAUCAAAAUAGGUUUAGGGUUUUAUACCUUCUAGUUAAAUAUUUGAUCUUUGUUCUCCAAAUCUGAUCUAGGUGUUCUAAGAGGUUAAAGAGUGACUGAAUUACUUGUUAAAUUCGGAGGUUGAGUGAGAGAGAGAGAGAGUGUGAGUUGAGUGUUUGAGUGCAAAUGACCAACUUUGUGGACUUUCUCUCUCUUAAAUCUAUAUAUAUUUAGAUGCAAUGUAUAGAUCUGAUGAAUUGGACUGAUUUUGCUAGAAUUAAUAAGUCACAAAGUCAAAUUAGUUGGUGAACAACUAAAGGUCUUAGAAAAUUCUACAAGUCACCAAUUAAAGAAAUGAAAAAGGACAUUUUGGGCAUUUGCAAUAUAAUUUUAAUGGCAUUCUUGACUUUUGUCCAAACCCUUAGGGUUUAACCCUAAGGUUCUAACCCUUUAGGUUUUUACAACUUUAGUUUCUAGAAUUUUCUAAUUAGGGUUUUAAUUAGAAAUAAGAUUUAAAAUUUAUAAUUAGGGUUUCCUAAUCAUAUUAAAGUUUUAUAAUCACAUUAGGGCUUGCUAAUUAGGAUUAGGGUUUAGGAUUCUCAAAUUUAAAAUUAGGGUUUCCCGGCAUACGAUUAGGGUUUCUAACUGUGCGUUAGGGUUUCUAAUCCCUUAUUAGGGUUUAUAAAUUUGAAACCUUAUCCGAUCAAUCAUUGAUAAAAAAUUCUAAACACAUACUCAUCAAUACAAUAAUUUUAAUUGUUUUUUCUAUCGAAUCCCUAUCUGGACUUAGGGUUAGAGUUUUUAUUCUCUGUUAAGCACAACUCUACUCUUAUUUGUCAGUCAAUACACAAAUUGACUAUAUCACAAGACUCGAAUCACAGAUACACAGUACAAUAUUAACAGUCAAUAUCAAUAUUAAAUAAAAAAAAUUAUUCGUAAAAUUUUGGAUUAUUCAAAAUCCCGGGUUAUCACAUUCUCCCCUCCUUAUAAGGAUUCCAUCCUCGGAAUCACCGCUUUCCUAUCCUCUACAAUCUUUUAAAGUUGUAUCAUCAAUUCAUUCUUAUCAACACAAUACUAAUUUGUGUCUCAAAUUCUAACCUGUGACUUGGAUCUAUAAAAGAAAACAAUUCACAACAAUAUCUAACUCGUAUUUCUCGCGUACUUUAAUUUCUAACCGAACUCGUUACCUGUCGCCUUUUCAUGGGCAGCUGCUGCAUUUGGAACUAUCAUGCUAAAAGUGAAUGAUGUUGGUCUUCCCUGUUGAGCUGAUUCUUUGAUCCAUAUUGUUCCUAUGCUGGUUCUCUUAUUCACCCUCUUCUUUGGGUAAUCACGCAAUAGAUAAUCAAUUGAUCCACACGCAAAACAACCUUGUGUCUUCUUUGGAAUGGGACACUCGGGAGACAUGUGUCCCUCAUAGCCACAGUUGUAACAGACUCCUUUUUUCUUCAAACAACCUCCUUGAUGACGCUUCCCGCAAACUACACACGGCGUACCCUUCCUCCAACUCUAUUUUGGAUUAUUUCCUAAAUUAACAUUAUCAUCCCUCUUAAGUUUAUUAAAAUCAGUGCCUCCAUUACCACCUAUCAUAUUAUUUCCUUCAGCCUCCUUUCUUUGUUCUUGACUAUUCUUUAACACAGCUUCCAUUUCUCCCUCAACGAUAAUGGCUUUUUCCAAUAAAGUUGAAAAUGAAUUAAUUUGUAGCACAUCUAACUUCUCGAGUACCAAUGAUUUCAAUCCAUUCCUAAAACAUCGUGCUUUCAGUUCCUCAGUGUCCACUUGAUGUGGAACGAAUUUAGCUAUUUCGUUAAACUUGACAAAAUAUUCUGUCACUGUCAUAUUUUUUUGCUUCAGAUUCAAAAAUUGUUCUUCCAUAUUUUCCUUUAGACUUCCCUUCCUUGGCGGCAUUAUCUGAUAAAAAUCUUACAUUAAUUCUCUUUCUCUACACAAAUUCUUAUUAACCACACAAUAAGAAUUUAAUACAUAGUACAUUUAGCACUUAACACAUAGCAUUAUCCCUUUUUAAAUAAUAUCAGGAUUAACAACACAACUUUAAACAAAAGUUUAAUUCUCCGACUUUAAACAAAAAGUCGUAAUUCUCCAUUCACACAUAACUAUUCCCAGUUCAUCAAACUUACCACACCUAGGGGUUCAAAAACUUGCCACAAUUAUAUGAGUUUAUGAACUUAUCCUAGUCAGACCUUUGGAGUCCAUUCGUUGAGGGGUUCAAAACAUUUCAUAUAAUUAUGAGUCAUGAACUUACCAUAAGUAUGAGUUGUAAGAACUCACAAAUUAAUCUUAAUCUUAUAUUCAUAUAGAAAAUAAAGAUUUCAUUCAUACAAACAUAUAUAUUUACAUAUGUUCACACACUAGCAAAAGAUACUAUCGCUUAAACUUAAGCUAUCUACCGUCCACUCCCUUCACCAGUCUUCUUCUUGCUGGGACACUUGUUGAAUCCGUGACCCGUUCUUCCCCAUGAAAAACACUUUCUCAUAUUCGGCUUAGGACAAUGUAGGGAAAUAUGUCCUUCAUGCUUAUAAUUGAAGAACACGUUCUUCCGCAUCAUGCAUUCUCCCACGUGAGUCUUUCCACACUUGCUACAGACUUGCUUCUUAUUCGAGUUUGAAUUUUUAGAGUUAUCACUGUUGUUGUCCCUCUUUCUUUUAUUCUUUCCCUUCAACUUGAUUGUUCCUUCAAACGAUCCACUACCUUCAGUCUUCAUCCUUUCCACCUGCACCUUCAGCUCGUUCUAUUCUUCGGUCAUUUCGCGUAACGCUUGCUUCAUCUUACACAACUCCUCCCAGAGAAAUACUUUAUUCCGGAGUUCUUGGACUUCUGGAGAUUCUUGAUCUUUCUCUCCAAUUUUAGUCUUAUUCCCUUUCUCCACCUUAGCUUCUUUGGACUCAUCCUCCUCAUCACCAUUAAGAUACAUCUCGGGAUAAUCAUCAUGAUCACUCCACAAAUUAACCAUAUGUUCAUCUUUUCCCACUUUUACCACUAACUCGUUUUGUGUUGGCACCUAGGCUACUGGCACUGGUGCGACAGUCGCUAGCAUCUCCGUACUCAUUUUGUCUUCUCCAGACAUCCUACUAUCAAUUUAAAUAACUUGAUUAAUACUUCACUAGUACAAACUUCUCACACUAUGUAUCCACAUAUCUCACUAUUAAUGCGCUUUGACAGUCCCUCACUUAGUACUCUAAAUGAGUAUUCUCUAUCUCGCUUAUGGUUAUAAUCCUAGGGUUUCCCCACCCCACUUAAGGUUUAUAACCUACAACUUUGAUACCAACCUGGGACACCCCCAAAUCCGGGUUACCUGACCCCCGAGUUUGGUGCUCACAAUCCACAAUAUAAUUAACAUCUAACUACUCAUUCAUUGAUGAAUAGAAUAUUACACCACAUUAACUGAUAUAGUUAAUAUAUUUGUCCCAGGUUAUCUAACCUUAACAUUACAAACAUACCCCUUUAGAUAUACAAAAAGAGUUUACAAACAUAACAUAAUAAUAAUGUUCAUAAUAACUACGUUAUCACAAUGCCUUUGCCUUUGUCCUUCAUAGCACCUCCUGCCACCUCGUCCCUAGCUGAAAAGUUUUUUUUAGCAAGGGUGAGCAACAAAUUUACCCCGCAAGUUAAGAUAUACAAUGAAUGUAUAAGAAUCAAGAAUAACAUACUAUCUAUUUUGAUAGAAUAACAACAAAGUUCGGGGAGGUUUGAAAUAGCUGAACUAUUUGUUCUUCUCUAACCAAUCUUCUCACAAUCUAUGCAACACAAUAGUUCAAUAAUGAAAGGGUACAACACUUUCAAAGUUUCUACGUUAUUCGAUUAAAUAAUAAUUUAGAAGAAUUCUCCAAAAUUUAAGUUGAAUGAUCUCAAAUGAUCUUGAAAUUUAUCUUCUCGAGUAACUAUCAAAGAUUUACUUUGAUAUACCCAAAUAAUAGGAUGGAAAUAUUUUCCAGAGUUAUAUUGAGUGAUCACAAAGGAUCUUGAACUUCACUUCUCGAGUAACUAUCAAAGAUUUACUUUGAUAUACCCAGGUGUAUCAGAUAACCAUAAAGAUUAAAUCAUACCCCUCUGUAAGUAUAUAAAGUGAUCAGCUUCAUUAUACCCUAUAUUAUACAUAAUAUUUAAAAUGCGCGCAAUGGCCGAAUAUACGACCAAAAAUUCUAUCCCUUUUAUAAUAAAAGGUUGUUCUUCUCAGUCUUAGAAUCAGAAUUUGAUUUAACAAUGAAAUACAAUGAUUUCAAAAUCUAAUCACUUCUCUACUCUUCUCGAACUUAUCAAAUUUACUUUCUUGAUCUAAUCAAAAUAAUUGGCAUCGACCUAUCAAUAAUAAUUGAAUUCUCUUAUCUUAUCUUAUCUUCUCGAACUUAAUAAGUUUUAACAAAUAUUUGUCUAGCCAAAACAAUUGGCUAAGACAUUUCUCAACAUGAUUCAACAAUAGACAAAAAUUAUCUGUACUAUUUACAAUCACUAAUAGAUUCUACGGAUGUGAAUAUCCAAUAACAAAUACUCUACAAAUAUAUAUUCUCAGAAUCACUAAUUCAUUUUGAAUUAAUAAACAUGCACUAACUGCGAAUAAUCAACAAUAAAUUCUCAGACGUGGUCUAAUUAGCAAUAAUUAACCACCAUAAUAUUUGAACAAAUAUAACUCAAGGUUGAGUUAAGGAAACUUGCCUUCCGCGUUGAUUACUGCUACACAAUAUACUUAUCUGCGUUUGAAAGACCUAUAAUCACAAUAUCGGUCUUAUAAUUAGCACAAUAAUUCAUAACACACAAUACUGUAAUCUACAGUCAAAACUUCUCCUAGACACAUUACCAUAUAGUCACAUCAGUGUUUAUAACCUAUAUAAACACUUAUCAAGUCUAACUAGUUCGGUCUAGUUGGACUUCGGUCUCAUCUCGGUGUACUGGCCAUCAUAUCCGACAAUUAACACAUUUAUUGUCAAUUAAACUUGGUCUCUAAGUUUCAAUAUUAUUUAGAUAAGUCAAAUAUCAUUUAUAAGAUUUUUCAGAAGCUUUUAAUAAUUUUCUAACAAUUAUUAUAAUUUAUAAUAAUUUUUCAAACACCAAAAUUAUUUUUAAAUGAUUUAAAUACUGUUUAAUCCCAUCAUCAUUAAUAUUUAAUAAUAUUAAAAUAUUAAUAAUUUAUUUGUCAAAAUAUUAAAGUUAUUAGUAAUAACUUAAAAUACUUUUAAAUUAUCAAUAUUCUACUUAAAUGAUUUUUAAAAUAAAUAAAAAUCAUUUUUAAACCAUCACCAUUAAUAUUUAAAUAUUAAUGAAUUUAUCAUAAAAAUAUUAAAAGUCAUUAAUUAUAACUUAAAAUAUUUUUAAAUCAUUUUUCUCAUUUUUAAAUAAUUUUUAAAUCAAUAAAAUCAUUUUUCUAUCAUUUAUUUAAUAUAAUAUUUAAAUAAAUCUAAUAUCAUUAAUAUUAAUUUAUUAAUGAGAAUUCUCCAAAAAUAUUGAAAAUUAUAUUUUAUAAUUCAAAAUAUUUUAAAACACUUUAUUCUUCCUUAAAAUGAUUUUCAUAAUAUUAAAGUCAUUUUUAAUUCAUUUGUUUAAUAUAAUAAUUAAAUAAAUAUAAUAUCAUUAAUAUUAAAUUAUUAAUGAUAAUUCUCUAAAAAUACUAAAAGUUACAUUUUAUAACUCAAAAUAUUUUUAAACACUUUAUUCUUAUUUAAAAUAAUUUUUAUAAUAUUAAAAUCAUUUUUCUCUAAUUUAUUUAAUACACUAAUUAAAUAAAUUAAAUAUCCUUAAUAUUCAAAUAAUUAUAAAUAUUAAUGGAAAAAAAUCCCAAAUAAUUAAAAGUUAUUUUUCAUAAUUUAAAAUAAUUUUUAAAACCAUUUUUUGUAAUUUUUAGAAUUUAUUUUCUUUUUUUAAUUAAUUUCCAGAAAAUCAGAAUUAAAAAUAUUAGAAACCAUACGCUAUAGCCUAUAGCGACACUAAGCGUCGUUGUUGGUGUUCUUGAGCCUCAAGAACACUGACAGUUCAGUUAGCAAGGGUCAACGUUUGACCGCUUAUAAUUAUCAGUGUAAUUCGUUUCUGGGCUAGCUUGAACCUUGAUCGUGUAGUUAAACUGUAACACUAUGAUAACCAACCAUCAUCUAGGUCAUACAACAAACACACAAGGAGAUCUGAUCUCCCAAAGUCAUUGUCAGACAGCUUCUAGGUUUUCUGGAAAACAAAGAAACCCAACAGCUUCGAGGGUCCAUUUUGGGCCUCGAUUAAUAUAGUGUUCUGGUCAUGAUUCAUGUGGUCUCAUGGUUCCAAUAUGUAGUCCUUAUGUCAAGGAACAAAUACAUAACAUGCUCUCAGUCCAACAAUAACAGAAACAUAAUUUAUGACUCGGUCAAAGCUUUUCAAACGGCCUGUUCUUAUGGUUUCUGGAAGUCCCAGAAACGUGAUCCGUGUUUGACUGGCCUAUUUUGACCACUUAUUACACUCGAUCUGUUGAUGUUUUAAAUGAUCUUAAGGCAUGGGUCUUGUGACACCCCCAAUUCUAGGUACUUCAUUCCCACAAGAUUUGGUGCUCACUAUCCAUACAUUCAUACUAUCUACCCAAAUAAAUAUUAUUUAAAUCAUAAAUCCUUCCCUUAAAUAGGGUUACAUUUAUAAAUUCAAAAAUAAUCCCAGGUUAUCCAACCUUUAAACAUCAUUCAAGUGCGGAAAUAAUGUAAGACCCCAACUUUUAUGAAUAAAGAUUAAUUUUCUAUAAAUAUUAUUUUUGAAUAUUAGGGAAUAAAUUUGAUAUAAUGUUAUAGUUGUGGGUAAGAUUUAUAAAUUUUACAAAAUGCGCAAGUUGUUAUAUAAUAUUUAAUUGGUUGGGGAAUAUUCGUACGACGGCGCAAUCAUUGGUGGACCCCACAACGGAAUUAUUGUCGGAUUGAGAAAACGACAAAAAUAUUUUAUUGAAAAUAACGGCGGAAGUUUUACCGUUAAUACUGUUGAAACACCUGGUGUUAAAAGUACAGGAAUACGCGUGGUUGCAUAGUAGCACACAGUAUUGAUUAUUAAUGCUUACGUGAGAAGUCACUCAGUUUUGUUCAAUUAUUGUUAUAGUAAUUGAUGCAUAGUAUCUCACGUUAUUUGAUUCAAUUAUUGUCAAUAUUUUGUAUAUUUUUUUAAAUCAAUAAUUGAGAUGACAGAGUUAUUAAUAUUAUUAUUUGCAAUAUUAACGAUAUCUAGAAGUUCUGCCAAGGAGAGAUUUGGUCACCUAAUUACGCGCCAAUAGGGAGAAAUAUUUAUUGGAAAGCCCCUUCUUUCCUGGAACGACCUGGUCGAUUAAUAUUGUGAAUUAUAAUAAUGAUGAUAAAUGUUGUUAAAAAUAUUGAGAGGUUUUUAUGAAGUAGUUGUUGUAAAUUUUACUUGUUAUUUGGACCCCCCAUUUACUUAUUUUUCAAAACUGUAGGUAGAUGAUAUCUCAGUUUUGUUUAUAUAUAUAUAUAUUAUAUAAGUUAUUAUUAUUAUAUUAUAUAUAUAUAUAUAUAUAUAUAUAUAUAUAUAUAUAUAUAUAUAUAUAUAUAUAUAUAUAUAUAUAUAUAUAUAUAUAUAUGCAGGUUUGAAUUAUUGACAGGAAGAUGAUCACGGGAAUGCAUCCCGUGAAUUUAUUAUGAGCAUGCGUAUAUAUAUAUAAUAUAUAUUAUAAUUUAUUUAAAAGUUAUGUUUUAUUAGAAUAUUUUAUGGACUAUCCGAUUAAAAGUAAAUUAAUCUGGACCGUUCAUGAAUUAGUUACUAUGCAGUCUGUGACGCCCCCAAAAUAGGUCCAAUCCAUCCAACCUAUUCUGAGUCAACAAAUACAUGGUACAGAAAACAACUACAACUUUAUUACUACAAUUGUCGUGCAAAAUACAACAACACAUAUACUGUGAGUUUUAAUACCAACUGUGACUCAUUUCCCAACUAUGGACAACACCUCACAGUGAUACCUUACAUAAAAGUACAAUCUAGAACUGUUUUAAAAAUUAAAAUCUUUGGGAAGUGCUCAAGGAAAUCUUCGUACAUAGGAGGCCAUGAAUCUGAGUUAUGAUAGAUAUCAUAUGUCCAGAGAAUUAUCCUUGGUUGAUCCAAUAGACCCCAAAGAAAAAUGAAAAGAUUACUAUCAUGUUCCUUCCAAUGGUGAGUCUUCUCUUGACAUAUAACUAUCUCCACCGUCUGCGAUUGAACAUUAUGUUUCAACCCAACUCCAAGAUCAUAUAGGUAGUGAUCGUAGAUAUACUCAGCAAGUAGAUGUGCACAACCCUUUCUUAUGAUAACACGAGAUUGUAUGUUAUUAGACAUCUUGGAUGAUAGUGACAAAACACCCUUCCAAAGUUGGGUUCGCCUCACCCUAUUCGGUUCACCAAAAUUAAAUAUCAAAUGACGUAUAAAAUACGACACAUUUAUCUAAAGUUCUCAAUAAAAUUAUUUUCAUACUAUUUAGAGAGAACCUCAACAGCUAUAGACCACCGUUCUAUUCUCAUGUUAUCCCCGCUUGACCCAGCUACACUCUUAUUACCUGAAAGGAAUUAUGAAGCAAAAGGGUGAGCACAACUAGCUCAGUAAAGAAUAUCAUGACUAAAGAUAAUUAAAUUAUCAAUAUCCUUCAUCAGUAAUAAAUCAGAGAUUUAGAACAUAUGGUAGAUGAUAAAACUUUUCAACCAUAGUUGUAGCAGAAUGAGCAAUCCAUUAGAAGAGUCAAAUAAACCAUAAAGUCUAUUAUCUUCUCCAUGUUAAAAGUCCAUCAAUAAUGCUUUAACCUUGUAACAUUAAUCAACAUAUCCUGUUCACAGUCAUGUGAAUAACUCAUAAUCAUAAUUGUAGUUCUAAUUUUCUCUUCUCAUCCAAGACGAAGAAAUUUUCAUCACCUGUCUUUACCUGAAAUAUCAAAGAUCAUGGUUACACCAAAUCACAGUUCCUGUUCAUAAUCUUAUUAAUAAAUUCAUCGUUGCACUACGGGCCAAAGAUAUUCAUCAACAGUUCAUCUUUGCACUACAGACCAAAGAUAUUCAACAACAGGACAUCUUUGCACUACGGGCCAAAGAUAUUCAACAACAGGACAUCUUUCCACUACGGGCCAAAGAUAUUCAACAACAGGUCAUCUUUGAACUUACAGGCCAAAGAUAUUCAUCAAUAAUUCAUCUUUGCACUACGGACCAAAGAUAUUCGUAUCUCAAAGAACUAUACAAUCAUUUCAGAAUUUAUAUAAACCAUAAUUAUAAUCAUGUUGAUCAAUUCACAUUUGCACUUAAGCUAAAAAUAUUCAAUUGUAAAUCCAAUGGUCAUGAUCAUACCAGUCAACAAUUCAUCUUUGCACUACUGGCCAAAGUGAACCCAUAGUCACGAUCAUACCAAUAAUCUACCCAUCUUUACACUUAAGUCAAAGAGAAAUUUCAUCACCGAGAUUAUAAAAGUGUUAUAUAUGAUAAUAUAUAAAAACAAUAUGAUCAAGAACUGCAUUUAAUUCCAAGAGUAAGAUUCAUAAAUCAAUAAUUUCAUAACACCUUAAUCCAAAUAUUAUAAAUCACUUAAUAAUCUCAUAAUCUAAUAUUAUUAAUAUUACCACAAUAUUUUAAUCAUUUCUUAAACUUAUAAACAAUUUAUUUUAAUUGUUUACACUUUACUAAUUAAUGCAUUUAAUCAUCCUAAAAUGCUAAACUCAUAAGAUUUCAUCACCAAUAACCAAAACCCUCAUCAAAAAUAUGCAUAUACCAUAUAUAUAAUUCUCAAGCCAUAAAAUCAUAUUUUCUAAUUUUCUUACUUCAAAUAACGUAUUUAAUUCAUUUAUUCAUAACUAUUCUAUUUUCAUGAAAAAUACCAAAUCAGUACCAAAAAUAUUUCUUUUCUGGGAUUUAUCAUAACAUAGUCCUAUAUUGAACAUAUAUUUUUCUCAAAAUUUUUAAAAUUCAAUUACUAUUUUUCAUAUGGUCAAAACUACCGAAUAUUUAGACAUUUAUCAUAAAUUGUACUUUUAUCCAAAAAUUCCAAAAUUUACAGGGUAUACUGAUAUUAUAUAGAUGUACUCCCAAUAAAAAUUUCAUCAAUUUUGGAGUUAACCACAAGGAGUUAUAAGGGUUUACUUUUAAAAUAGUAUUUUCUCAUAAAUUCCAUAACUCCUAAUCUAUACAUCCAAAAAUCGCCAUUUUUGGACACAAUCAAUAAAACUCAUCAAAUUGUAAUUUUAAAUUUUUCCAGAAUUUUUGAAGGUCAGAAAAAUUUCAAAACUGAAAAACAUAAUAACCUUUAAAAUCCCUUACAAUCGCUUACCUCGAAAGAGCAGUAUUUCUGACCGGAAUGGAAAGCCGAAGGAACCUUGCACUGAAUAGCAACUCUCAAAGUAUCUAAAUACUCACAAAAUAUGCUUGAUAAUAUAGAGAGAGAAAGAGAGAAAGCUUAUGUUUCUGGUGUGAUUUUCAAUUCUAACUUAGCCCUCUAUUUAUAGGAAAAUGUUAGCACGCCGAAGCAGACUUGACUUGCUACCUGAUGGCUUUACCUGCUACUAUUACCACCCACCACAUUUGAAAUAAAAUUCAGCACAUUUCUUCACCAACCACAAGUGGGGCCCACUCAAUUCUAAAAUUUUCCACCAAAAUCAAUUAUAACCCUAAUUUCUGAAUUAGUCACCUCUUAAAAUUCAUAAAAAAUCAUUCGUUCAUCUUUAACGGUUCAAAAUUUGUGGACAUAUACUCAACUUAUAUAUGUAUAACAUAUCCAAAAAUCACAACGAUCCAACGGUCGGAUUAAAAAUUAUAACUCACGCAAUAUAUCGUAAAAAUACUGAUUUAAUUUUUAAUACCUCCAUUCCGACAAAAACACCUCAACAUUAAUUCCUUCAAUUAUAUCCAUAUAAAAUAAAUAUAACCAUCAAUUAUAAAAUAAAUAUUUCAUUAUCAUAUGAAUCAAUAAUUAAUUAUUCACAAAUAAUAUUAUAGAAUCAUAAUUAUGACAACCAUGCCGUUCCCAGGAAAGAGGGGGCUUUCCAAUAAGGAUUUCUCCUUACUGGCGCGUAAUUAGGUGACCAAACCUCUCCUUUGACAGAACUUUCUAGACAUUGCCAAUAAUGCUAUCUAAUAAUAUUAUUCAAAUAAUAUGAAUUAUUGAUCUGAUAAUGGAAAAUACUGUGCAAUGACAAUUAUUGAGACAACAAUAAUAUAAAAUAUCAACGCAACAAUUAUUGAAUCAAUAAAAUAAAAUAUUGAACAGUAAUUACUGUAACAAUUAUUGAGUAGUGCCUUCCUACGUAAGAAUCAAUAAUUCAAAAAUAUUGUGCAAUACCGUGUGCUACUGUGCAACAACGCGUAUUACUAUAUUUUAACCACCAGGUAUUCCAAUAGUGUUAACGGUAACAACUACGCCGUUAUUUAUAAAAACUUAAACUUGUCGUUUUCUUCAUCUGACAAUUAUUCUGUUAUGGGCCCACAAACGGUUGCGCCGUCGUACGAAUAUUCUCCGACAACAAGAAUAUUCCACGACCGAACAAAUAUUCCCCGACAACAAUAAGUAUUUUAUAGCCACUUGCUUAUUUUAAAAAAAAUUCAUAUAUCACCCUUAACUUUACUUUUUAUCAAUUUAACCAUUUACUAAAUAGGAAAAUUGAAUACUUUUAUUUCAUAAAAUUUGGGGUCUUACAAUCUCCCCUCCUUAUGAAAUUUCGUCCCCGAAAUUUACAUACCUAGUAUUUCAAAGAGUUAAGAAUACCUUACUUUCAUUUCAGAUUCCAUCUUCUCUGUCAGCAUGAUUUCUCCAUUGCUCAUCUCCUGUAUUUCAGAUAUUAUUCUAGAAUACAGCUUCAAAACAAGGGUUAAUUGAACAAAUUAACAUAUCACAUAAUAUCCCAAUAUUAUGACUGACCAACAAUUAAGCUUAGGUAGGACACACACUAGCGAAGGAUAUUACUCGUCUCUCCCCUUCCUAGUUCUAAUCCCGGAUCUCCGCCAGAGAUCAUAUCCCUAAGAUGUGAUACCAACUGUGACGCCCCCAAAAUAGGUCCAAUCCAUCCAACCUAUUCAGAGUUGCCAAAUACAUGGUACAGAAAACAACUACAACUUUAUUACUACAAUUGUCGUGCAAAAUACAACAACACAUAUACUAUGAGUUUUAAUACCAACUGUGACUCAUUUCCCAACUAUGGACAACACCUCACAGUGAUACCUUACAUAAAGGAACAAUCUAGAACUGUUUUAGAAAUUAAAAUCUUUGGGAAGUGCUCAAGGAAAUCUUCAUACAUAGGAGGCCAUGAAUCUAAGUUAUGAUAGAUAUCAUAUGUCCAGAGAAUUAUCCUUGGUUGANNNNNNNNNNNNNNNNNNNNNNNNNNNNNNNNNNNNNNNNNNNNNNNNNNNNNNNNNNNNNNNNNNNNNNNNNNNNNNNNNNNNNNNNNNNNNNNNNNNNNNNNNNNNNNNNNNNNNNNNNNNNNNNNNNNNNNNNNNNNNNNNNNNNNNNNNNNNNNNNNNNNNNNNNNNNNNNNNNNNNNNNNNNNNNNNNNNNNNNNNNNNNNNNNNNNNNNNNNNNNNNNNNNNNNNNNNNNNNNNNNNNNNNNNNNNNNNNNNNNNNNNNNNNNNNNNNNNNNNNNNNNNNNNNNNNNNNNNNNNNNNNNNNNNNNNNNNNNNNNNNNNNNNNNNNNNNNNNNNNNNNNNNNNNNNNNNNNNNNNNNNNNNNNNNNNNNNNNNNNNNNNNNNNNNNNNNNNNNNNNNNNNNNNNNNNNNNNNNNNNNNNNNNNNAUCAAAGAUCAUGGUUAUACCAAAUCACAGUUCCUGUUCAUAAUCAUACUAAUAAAUUCAUCUUUGCACUAUAGGCCAAAGAUAUUCAUCAACAGUUCAUCUUUGCACUACAUGCCAAAGAUAUUCAACAACAGGACAUCUUUGCACAACAGGCCAAAGAUAUUCAACAACAGGUCAUCUUUACACUUACAGGCCAAAGAUAUUCAUCAAUAAUUCAUCUUUGCACUACGGACCCAAGAUAUUCAUAUCUCAAAGAAAUAUACAAUCAUUUCAGAAUUUAUAUAAACCAUAAUUAUAAUCAUGUUGAUCAAUUCACCUUUGCACUUAAGCUAAAAAUAUUCAAUUAUAAAUCCAAUGGUCAUGAUCAUACCAGUCAACAAUUCAUCUUUGCACUACUGGCCAAAGAGAACUCAUAGUCACAAUCAUACUAAUAAUCUACCCAUCUUUACACUUAAGUCAAAGAGAAAUUUCAUCACCGAGAUUAUAAAAAUGUUAUAUAUGAUAAUACAUAAAAACAAUAUGAUCAACAACUGCAUUUAAUUCCAAGAGUAAGAUUCAUAAAUCAAUGAUUUUAUAACACCUUAAUCCAAAUGUUAUAAAGCACUUAAUAAUCUCAUAAUCUAAUAUUAUUAAUAUUACCACAAUAUUUUAAUCAUUUCUUAAACUUAUAAACAAUUUAUUUUAAUUGUUUACACUUUACUAAUUAAUGCAUUUAAUCAUCCUAAAAUGCCAAACUCAUAAAAUUUCAUCACCAAUAAUCAAAACCCUCAUCAAAAAUAUGCAUAUACCAUAUAUAUGAUUCUCAAGCCAUAAAAUCAUAUUUUCUAAUUUUCUUACUUCACAUAACGUAUUUAAUUCAUUUAUUCGUAACUAUUCCAUUUUCAUGAAAAAUACCAAAUCAGUACCAAAAAUAUUUCUUUUCUGGGAUUUAUCAUAACAUAGUCCUAUAUUGAACAUAUAUUUUUCUCAGAAUUUUUAAAAUUCAAUUACUAUUUUUCGUAUGGCCAAAACUACCGAAUAUUUAGAUAUUUAUCAUAAAUUGUACUUUUAUCCAAAAAUUCCAAAAUUUACAGGGUAUACUGAUAUUAUAUAGAUGUACUCCCAAUAAAAAUUUCAUCAAUUUUGGAGUUAACCACAAUGAGUUAUACGGGUUUACUUUUAAAAUAGUCUUUUCUCAUAAAAUCCAUAACUCCUAAUUUAUACAUCCAAAAAUUGUCAUUUUUGGACACAAUCAAUAAAACUCAUCAAAUUGUCAUUUCAAAUUUUUCAAAAUUUUUGAAGGUCAAAAAUAUUUCGAAACUGAAAAACAUAAUAACCUUUAAAAUCCCUUACAAUCCCUUACCUCGAAAGAGCAGUAUUUCUGACCGGAAUGGAAAGCCGAAGGAACCUUGCACUGAAUAUCAACUCUCAAAGUAUCUAAAUACCCACAAAAUAUGCUUGAUAAUAUAGAGAGAGAAAGAGAGAAAGCUUAUGUUUCUGGUGUGAUUUUCAAUUCUAACUUAGCCAUCUAUUUAUAGGAAAAUGUUAGCACGCCGAAGCAGACUUGACCUGCUACCUGAUGGCUUUACCUGCUACUAUUACCACCCACCACAUUUGAAAUAAAAUUCAGCACAUUUCUUCACCAACCAUAAGUGGGGCCCACUCAAUUCUAGAAUUUUCCACCAAAAUCAAUUAUAACCCUAAUUUCCGAAUCAGUCACCUCUUAAAAUUCAUAACAAAUCAUUCGUUCAUCUUUAACGGUUCAAAAUUUGUGGACAUAUACUCAACUUAUAUAUGUAUAACAUAUCCAAGAAUCACAACGAUCCAACGGUCGGAUUAAAAAUUAUAACUCACGUAAUAUAUCGUAAAAAUACUGAUUUAAUUUUUAAUACCUUCAUUCCGACAAAAACACCUCAACAUUAAUUCCUUCAAUUAUAUCCACAUAAAAUAAAUAUAUCCAUCAAUUAUAAAAUAAAUAUUUCAUUAUCAUAUGAAUUAAUAAUUAAUUAUUCACAAAUAAAAUUACAGAAUCACAAUUAUGACAACCAGGCCAUUCCCAGGAAAGAGGAGGCUUUCCAAUAAGGAUUUCUCCUUACUGGUGCGCAAUUAGGUGACCAAACCUCUCCUUUGACAGAACUUUCUAGACAUUGCCAAUAAUGCUAUCUAAUAAUAUUAUUCAAAUAAUAUGAAUUAUUGAUCUGAUAAUGGAAAAUACUGUGCAGUGACAAUUAUUGAGACAACAAUAAUAUAAAAUAUCAACGCANNNNNNNNNNNNNNNNNNNNNNNNNNNNNNNNNNNNNNNNNNNNNNNNNNNNNNNNNNNNNNNNNNNNNNNNNNNNNNNNNNNNNNNNNNNNNNNNNNNNNNNNNNNNNNNNNNNNNNNNNNNNNNNNNNNNNNNNNNNNNNNNNNNNNNNNNNNNNNNNNNNNNNNNNNNNNNNNNNNNNNNNNNNNNNNNNNNNNNNNNNNNNNNNNNNNNNNNNNNNNNNNNNNNNNNNNNNNNNNNNNNNNNNNNNNNNNNNNNNNNNNNNNNNNNNNNNNNNNNNNNNNNNNNNNNNNNNNNNNNNNNNNNNNNNNNNNNNNNNNNNNNNNNNNNNNNNNNNNNNNNNNNNNNNNNNNNNNNNNNNNNNNNNNNNNNNNNNNNNNNNNNNNNNNNNNNNNNNNNNNNNNNNNNNNNNNNNNNNNNNNNNNNNNNNNNNNNNNNNNNNNNNNNNNNNNNNNNNNNNNNNNNNNNNNNNNNNNNNNNNNNNNNNNNNNNNNNNNNNNNNNNNNNNNNNNNNNNNNNNNNNNNNNNNNNNNNNNNNNNNNNNNNNNNNNNNNNNNNNNNNNNNNNNNNNNNNNNNNNNNNNNNNNNNNNNNNNNNNNNNNNNNNNNNNNNNNNNNNNNNNNNNNNNNNNNNNNNNNNNNNNNNNNNNNNNNNNNNNNNNNNNNNNNNNNNNNNNNNNNNNNNNNNNNNNNNNNNNNNNNNNNNNNNNNNNNNNNNNNNNNNNNNNNNNNNNNNNNNNNNNNNNNNNNNNNNNNNNNNNNNNNNNNNNNNNNNNNNNNNNNNNNNNNNNNNNNNNNNNNNNNNNNNNNNNNNNNNNNNNNNNNNNNNNNNNNNNNNNNNNNNNNNNNNNNNNNNNNNNNNNNNNNNNNNNNNNNNNNNNNNNNNNNNNNNNNNNNNNNNNNNNNNNNNNNNNNNNNNNNNNNNNNNNNNNNNNNNNNNNNNNNNNNNNNNNNNNNNNNNNNNNNNNNNNNNNNNNNNNNNNNNNNNNNNNNNNNNNNNNNNNNNNNNNNNNNNNNNNNNNNNNNNNNNNNNNNNNNNNNNNNNNNNNNNNNNNNNNNNNNNNNNNNNNNNNNNNNNNNNNNNNNNNNNNNNNNNNNNNNNNNNNNNNNNNNNNNNNNNNNNNNNNNNNNNNNNNNNNNNNNNNNNNNNNNNNNNNNNNNNNNNNNNNNNNNNNNNNNNNNNNNNNNNNNNNNNNNNNNNNNNNNNNNNNNNNNNNNNNNNNNNNNNNNNNNNNNNNNNNNNNNNCUAAGGUUAGAGUCUUAUAACAUUAGAAAUGAAAUUACUGAACAUACAUUGACUGAUAGCAAGCUGGAAACUAAAAACUUGCCCAACAUGGUAUUAAUUCAUGCAAGGAUUAAAAACAGUUCAAUAAUAGAGAAGAGAGUUCAAACUGUAUUCAUUAUACAAGAAUAUAACUCAAGAACUUGCUUAAUCAGAAACAAGUUAGAAUGAAUCAACAAAAAUUAGAAUUCAAAUAACAUUAGAGUUAAAGUUUUCUCGAAUGAACUCUAGGGACAAUUGACUUAUACAAUUAACAGUUGAAAUAGAAACCUUGCUCAAUCAAAGAAUAAAUCUACAUAAUGUAAUAAUGGAACUAGCUCAACGAAAUUAAAGAAUUAGGAAACUUUAUUAAUGUAAAAGAUAGAGUUUAGAAACUUGCCUCGAGCGUAAGCUACAAUAUUAAACUCACGUUCACCUACACAUUGGUUUAAAACCACAUUAUCUAUUAGAUAUGCUAACAUACCAUAACAUUUACACUUCUAUCUAAACGUAUCAUUGAAGCACAAGUCUUUCAUUACCAUUUACAUUUCAGAAAUUCCAAGUGUUAUACUUCGCAACACUUAUCUAACGUUCAUUGUAUAUACUAAGUUAUCACAUAACGCGUUCUCGAUUUACAAAUUACUUUUUAAAAUUUUGAAGUCAUAAUCCACAUAAUAUGACUCUAUUUAACCUUGUUGUUACAUGAUUCUCACACUACCAUAACCUUAAGCUACACUACAAAGAACGACCAAAGUCUGCAGAAAAAACAGACUUCAGUGUCUGAAAAUGGGCACUGGCGCGGCCGCGCGAGUUUUGUAUGGGGAUGCCGCGCGCCCGCACCCAAGGGCCUCACGCUCGCGCCCAAGGGCAUCGCGGCCGCGCGACUUACAAAACUCAGUUUUGCAGAACAGAGUUUCGGCACUUUUCUUAAGCCAACUAACACGAAUUUCACCCAUCAAACAGUGAUAACAACACAUAAAAUAAAUAUACAACUAUCAUAGACAUGGUUGCUAACACAUGCAACCACUUAACACAAUUUUACAUCCACUAAAACUAUUUUAAUUUCUCAUUUUUUAUGUUUUCAUGAAAAACUCAAUUUUCUUGACAUUCAUCCUAAAAAUCAUCACUGUGAAUUCAUUACUUGACCAAAUCAUCUCAUUCAAAUUACAUUAUGUUCGUAUCUCAACAAACUAGCAUAAAAAAAACUCAAUUAACAUCUUAACAUGCAAUUUGACCAUCAAAAUUGAUACUUACAUAGCUACAUAUGAAAACAUAAACACUGACAUCAUUUUCUUUUACUGUUAUCCUAAAAUUAACAUGCGAUUUCCUUAUUUAAACACAACCUCCAGUCAUCAUAUACUCAUAUAAUCACAAGUAAUCCCAUUGUAUAGCAACAAUUCAACAAAUUUGAAAUUCACAGAUUAUAUAAAAGUUUGUCGUAGCCUCAUAUAUACAUAUACAUAUACAUAUAUAACACUAAGGUUGUGAACAUACCUUCAAUUAGCGUGUAACUCUUGCUAACCCACUGGAAUUACUUGAAAAUCCUAAGCUUUAUCUCAAUUUCUCUCAACUCUCAAUUCUCUCUAUUGCCUCUAGGCUAGCAAAACCAGAAUGAAGCUCUAAUAGCCAGUAUGCGCAAUAACCAAAAUGAAAAACUAAUAAUCUUAAUAUGCCAACUUAAUUAUAAUAACGGUUACCACAUAAACGUAUAUAAUAUAAAUAUAUAUUAUACUUAUUAAUUUAAUUUAAUUAAUUUAUUUUAUUUAAAUUCAAAAAUUAGAAAUUCAAAAGCCAUAAGGCUUGUUUGGCAAAAACCCUUUAAAUUUUAAAAAAUUAAAAUACCUUUAAACCUUGUUUGGCAAAAACUAAUUUAAAUCCUUUUUAAUUUAUUUUAAUAAACACUUUAAUUUAUAAUUUAUAAUUACAUAUUAUUAUUUGGAUUUCCAUACCCAACAUUGAUCCAUUAAAUUAAACACAUACUAUAUUUUAAUUAAAUAUAGCAUUUAACAAAUAUCACAAAAUUAUAAUUUUUAUUAUAACUUUAUUUAAUAAUUUAAUAUAUCAUUUGAAAUUAUUAAUUAACAAUAUAACACUUCAUGCUAUAAUACAAUUCUCUAAAUUAUAUAUUAAUUUAAUUUAGAAAAAAUUCAUCACAUCAAUAAAAUAUUUAUUUUCUCAAUUCAAUAAUAGACUCAUCAAAUAAAUAUUUAUAUUAUUCAAUAAAUAUUUAAUAAUACAACUUGAAAUUUCAGAUCAUUACAUCCUUCCCUCUUUACAAGGUUUCUGUCCCCAGAAUCACAAUUCAAACAAUCAAAUCGUCACAUUCUCCCGUACUUACAAAGAUUCUGUCCCCAGAAUCGAAGACACAGACUAAACAAAUAACUCAAGGUAAUUCUUCAUCAUUUCCACUUCGAGUUCCCACGUAGCCUCUUCGACAUUGUGGUUUCUCCAUAUCACCUUUACAGAAGGUAUCACUUUAUUCCUGAGCACUUGUUCUUUCCUGUCUACUAUCUGGAUAGGAAUCUCUUCAUAAGACAAAUAUUUAUUGAACUGCAAUGGUUCAUACUCAAUCUCAUGCUUGUAAUCCGGUUUAUACGGUCGCAACACCAACACAUGAAAAACAUUGUGCACAUGCUCUAAUUCUGGAGGUAAGGCUACUUUGUAAGCCACAUCUCCCACUCUGCGUAGAAUUUCGAAAGGUCCAAUAAACCUCGGGUUGAGCUUGCCUUUCUUGUCGAAACGAAUCUUCCCCUUCCAAGGAGAAACUUUCAGGAAUACGAAAUUUCCUACUUCAAACUCACGACUCUGCCUGUGUUGAUCAGCAUACUUUUUCUGUCGAUCUUGAGCAGCUACCAGUCUUGCUCUGAUGAGUUUGACAACUUCAGCGGUCUGCUGAAUCAGUUCUGGGCCCAACAGUUAUCGUUCUCCAACUUCAUCCCAGCAUAGUGGAGUUCUGUACUUUAUGUCGUAUAACGCCUCGUAUGGCGGCAUACCAAUGCUUGCGUGGUAACUGUUGUUGUAUGAAAAUUCCACCAACGGUAGAUUAUCAUCCCAGUUUCCUUUGAAAUCCAUGAUGCACGCUCUAAGCAUAUCUUCAAGCGUUUGAAUCGUUCUUUCGCUUUUCCCAUCGGUUUGUGGAUGAUACGCUGUGCUCAUCUUCAAUUGCGUUCCCAUGCAUUCUUGUAGUCUCUUCCAGAAAUUUGAUGUGAACCUCAGAUCUCUGUCUGAUACAAUUGACACUGGAACUCCAUGUCUUGAGACGAUCUCUUUAACGUAUAGUUUUGCCAGCUGAUCAAGAUUAAAUCUAAUCUUUAUUGGCAAAAAGUGUGCACAUUUUGUUAAUCUAUCCACUAUCACCCAUAUCGCAUCGUAUCCAUUCUGAGUCGUUGGAAGACCUACCACAAAAUCCAUUGUGAUAUGCUCCCACUUCCAUUCCGGUAUCUCCAACGGUUGAAGUAAUCCACUUGGUCGUUGAUGCUCGGCCUUCACUUUCUGACAUGUCAAGCACUUUGCAAUGCAUUCUGCAACAUCUCUUUUCAUGUUCGGCCACCAAAAAUGACCUCGCAAAUCUUGAUACAUUUUUGUACUUCCUGGAUGAAUUGAAUAUCUUGAGCUAUGAGCUUCCGUCAAUAUGUCUUCUUUAAUAUCAUGUACUGCUGGAACCCAAAUUCAUCCCUCGAAUCUUAGCAUUCCCGCAGUAUCGACCUGGUAUUUCACUUCUUUUCCCUCGCCCACGCUUUCUUUUAUUUUCUUGAAUUUUGCAACCUGUAGCUGAGCGUUCUUCACUUUGUCCACCAGAGUUAGACUAGCUUCUAUCUGGUACAAUUUUUCAUCGGAUUCUUCUGGAAAUUUGAUUUCCAGCUCUAGCCUUGCCAUUGCUGUAAUAAGCUCCUCCUUAUCUGUUAACAACAUCAACUUUUCUCUGCCUUUCCUACUUAAGGCAUCUGCAACCACAUUAGCUUUGCUCGGAUGAUAAAAGAUCCCACAAUCGUAAUCCUUUAUCAAUUCCAUCUAUCUCCUUGGCCGCAUGUUCAGGUCUUUCUGUGUGAAAAUAUACUUCAGACUUUUAUGGUCUGUGUAGAUCUCACAUUUUUCUCCGUAGAGAUAGUGUCUCCAUAUCUUCAGUGCGAAUACAACCGCCACCAACUCUAAAUCAUGAGUCGGAUACCCUUUUUUGUAGUCUUUCAGUUGCCUUGAUGCAUAUGCAAUAACCUUGCUGUUCUGCAUAAGGACACAACCCAAACCUUUGUGUGAUGCAUCACUAUACACCACAAAGUUUCCUGUACUAACUGGUAACGACAACACAGGUGCCACACUUAACUUCUUCUUCAGUUCUUGAAAACUUUCCUCACACUUCUCCGUCCAAACAAAUUUUAUAGAUUUUCUUAUCAAAUUCGUCAACGGAGUGGCAAUCUUGGAAAAAUCCUCGAUAAACCGUCUAUAAUAGUCUGCCAAACCCAAGAAACUUCUUACUUCUGAUGGAGUUCUUGGUUGUUCCCAAUUUAUCACUGCUUCAACUUUUGAUGGAUCCACGGAAAUCCCAUCCUUAUCAAUUACAUGCCCAAGAAAUUGUACACGUUCCAGCCAAAAUUCACAUUUAGAGAAUUUCGCGUACAACGUUUCCUUCCUUAACGUCUCCAACGUCAGACGUAAAUGUUCCACGUGUUCCUCUUGAGUUUUAGAGUACACCAAAAUAUCAUCGAUGAACACCACCAAAAAUUUGUCCAAAAAUGGUUUAAACACCAUGUUCAUCAAAUCCAUGAACGCUGCAGGGGCGUUUGUCAAACCAAAUGACAUCACUAAAAAUUCGUAAUGCCCAUACCGAGUUCGGAAUGCCAUCUUCGGUACAUCCUCCUUCCUUACUUUCAAUUGAUGAUACCCACUUCACAAAUCUAUUUUCGAGAAAUAUCUAGCACCCUUCAACUGAUCAAACAAGUCAUCUAUUCUUGGCAAUGAAUAUUUGUUUUUAAUAGUGACCUUGUUCAAUUCCCUAUAAUCAAUGCAAAGUCGCAUUAACCCAUCCUUCUUCUUCACGAAUAACACCGGGGCUCCCCACGGUGACACACUCGGUUGAUCAAUAUACUUCUUGUCUAACAGCUCUUGCAGUUGCACCAUUAGUUCCUUCAUUUCCACCGAGGCCAUUCUGUACGGGGCCUUCGAUAUCGGAGUGGUUCCUGGCGCUAAGUCGAUCACGAACUCAAUUUCUCGGUUAGGCGGAAGUCCUGGCAAAUCCUCCGGAAACACGUCCACGAACUCCCUAACCACCGGUAUUUCCUCCAAUUUCACACACUUCUCCUUUUGAGUAUCGACUAUGUAAGCUAAAUAUCAUACACAGCCCUGACUCAAUAACUUUUUGGCCUGCAUCAUCGUCAGACAUUUCAUUUGUCUAGGCGAUUUGCUACCAUGAAAAACUACCUUUGACGGAGUCAUAAGGUUUACACACUUCUUUUGGCAGUCAAUUAUCACUCCAUAAUUGAACAACCAAUCCAUUCCCAAAAUAACAUCAAACUCUCUGAGUUUUAUCGGAAUUAAAUCUACUUUCAUAACAUUCCCCUUAAUGUUCACCCUACAGUUCUUGUAUACGAACCUAAUAGGAAUCACUUCCCUAUUCGCAAUUUCUAUGUUUAAAGGGAAAUUCAGCUCUUCACUAGGUAUUUCAAACUUCUUAGCAAAAUCAUCAGAUAUAAACGAGCAAGUUGCACCCGAAUCAAAUAAUACAUAUGCUUUUAUAUCAUUGAUUGGGAUAAUACCUGACAUGACAUCUUUUGAUUGCACUGCGUCCUAAACCGUUAUGUUGAAAGUUCUGACUGUGGGCUUAUUUGUUGUUGUUGGUCCAGCAAUAGCUAGCGCACCUCCACUAGCAUUUCCCUUGCUCCCAUUUGUCUCACCAGAUCUCUUCUUAGGGCAUUCCCGAGCAAAGUGAUCCUUGGAUCCGCACGUGAAGCACACAUUCUUCUUAGCUUGAGUACAAUUUGGGGCGAUGUGAUCCUCCUGACCACAAUUGAAGCAUACUGGCUUCCCCAUCAAGUACACACCGUUGUGAAACUUUCCACACGUAGCGCAUGCUUCGAACUUCUUAUUUUGCUGGUUUCUUUGCUGAUUUCCAGCUCCCCCAUUCCCAUUCCACUUCCUCUUCAAAUGGUUGCCAUUUCCACCAUUACCACCACCACCAUUCUUAGCUUCACCUUAACUUUUCUUCUUCCUCUGCUCCUGGUUAUGUUUUGUUAAUGCCUCGCCUCCACUUUCAGCGAGAAUUUCCUUCUCCAUUACUGUUGCAAAUGUCUUCAACUGGAACAGGGAAACCCUACUGUACAACCAGGGUUUCAGCCCCUGUUCAAACCUCUUUGCAUUGCGCUCGUCUGUACUGACUUGAUAUGGCGCAAAUCUCACCAACUCAUUGAAUUUUUCGGUAUACUCAGUCACCGACAUCGUUCCCUGCUUUAGUUCCAAAAACUGAACCUCUAGCUGGCUCUUCAAACUCUCUGGAAAAUAGGUCUCGAAGAACAGCUCUUUAAACCUAUCCCAGGUCAUCACUCCUGGUCCUUCCUGAGUUUUAUUGGCCUACCACCAAUAGCUCGCCUCUGCUUUCAACAUAAAUGUUGCAAAAGCAGUCUUCUCGUUAUCCUCAACCCUAGCAACAUCAAAAACCUUCUCGAUUUCCAUGAUCCAGGUUUGUGCUUCAACUGGAUUCAUGGACCCACAGAAUUCUGGUGGUCCAACCGCCUUGAAAUCCUUAAACUUAGUACCUUGAUUCUGAGGUUGAUUCUGCAAAGCACCCGUCAGUAACGUCACUAGCUGCUGAACCGGGUUUCCUUCCUCAUUGUUGUUGUUGUUGGUUUCCUCAGUGGUUCUCUGUCGUGGUGGUUGACGUCUUGGAGGCAUUUUCUGUUAAAAUACAUCCAUUAGCUUCUAUUCAACCUUUUAAGUAUUACAUACUUAAGUUGCACAUCAUAAAAUUUUAUCACAUAACACUUAACACUUUGAAUAAAACAAUAACUUUUAUUCAUUCAUCAUCUUUAAAAAAAACAUCAAAACAAUAGCAUCGCUGCUAUUUACAACAUCAUCAUCAUCUAUCCCAUUGGUUAUAUCAUAAAUGGGAUUUACAUUUCAUUUAUUUUCAAAUCACCUAUCAAUUACAUUUUAUACAAUGUCCUACUAAGAUACUGCGUAGCCUUACGACGCUCUUCCUCCAUGAUUCGGAAAAUUGCUCGGCGAUCUAAUAUGUAUGAUGGUAGCAUCUCGAACUGAAUCGGAUAACCCAUGACUCAAUCUUGAGCUCGAUUGAUCACGGUGUUGAAUACGUUGUUCAUUUCUUCCAUCUUCCUCCUUUUUGAUUGUGCGUCCCUCUCUGCUACUCCGGCUCGUUGAUAAGCUUCACUGUACGCGUCUUUGGCUCUUUCCCUUUUUGUAGAUUCUUCUUUCAACUUGUUCUUCAACUCUGCAAUCUCUGCCAUCAUUCGCUCAUUCUCUCCUUCAGUAUGGACCAGCUUCUCUUCAACGUUGUUCAGUCGUUCUUCUCGAUCUUGGAUCUUGUCGUCUUUCUGUGCCAUCGAGGUCUGUUGUUCAGCUACUAUCUCUUGUAACUCAUAGACGGUGUCUUGAAGUUCCACAUUGCGGUCAUACACCUCGUCGUACAUACGGACAUCUAUCGAAUUAAGUGGAAGCUCCUCCUCCUCCUCAUCCCCCCACUGCGGCAGCUCCACAGGGUCCUCCUCAUCCGUCUCUAUCUCAUCCUCCUCAUCAGGUACUCUCUCCUACUCAACUACUGUGACUGACGGAACUGUUUCCCGUGGCAGUAGUUGUUCCCAAAUCACCUGAAUAUCUCAAGGCUCCUCCUCUCUAGCCUGAUUGGAUCCUCCUAUAUUAGUCAUCCUGUCAACCAAAGUUUAAGUUUUAAUUACUAAUCAUUACUACUCGACACUCACGAGCACAUAAGUUUUAAUCACAUAAACACAUAAGUGUUUUAUUACUUUCUCUUUCCUAAAACACGAUAAGAGUUUAUCAUCACUAUCUUUUCAAAGGUUACUUCCUAAGGCUUUUCCCCACCGAAGGUUCAUAACCUAAGGCUUUGAUACCAACCUGUGACACCCCCAAAUCUAGGUACUUCAUUCCCACAAGAUUUAGUGUUCACUAUCCAUACAUUCAUACUAUCUACCCAAAUAAAUAUUAUUUAAAUCAUAAAUCCUUCCCUUAAAUAUGGUUACAUUUAUAAAUUCAAAAAUAAUCCCAGGUUAUCCAAACUUUAAACAUCAUUCAAGUGUGGAAAUAAAAUUUAUUACAUCACAUCAUUAUUAAAAAUUCUGAGAUCAUCAUAAUAAAUAAAAGUACAAAUCAGCAUCACUUGUACAAGUUUCCCUUUCCUUUGCUAGUUGAAGGUUCAUCUACCUUCUCCACUUUAGCUGUAAUGAGUAUAUAAAUAUGCAAGAGUGAGCAAAACAAUUGCUCACUGGAUAUAAUAAACAAUCAGCAUGAGAAUAACAAUAAUAACUGCCAACGAAUAGGCUCAUCAAAACUGAAUAGUACUCUAUCAAUGAUAAUCAGGAACUGGAAUCCAAAAUAUGGAAUAUACAUAACUAAGGGUCAUAAGACCAUGAACUAUGUCCACAGUUGCGAGUAAUCUUUCAACUCCAAUUUUAACAGUCAUAAGACUAUAAGGACUCCUCGUACUUAGGGGGAUCAACCCUUCGUACAAUGUAUUGUGCACAAACAUUUUAACGCUACGCAUAAGUUUUCCCCUAAUAAUAGUAGGGUUGGUCAUCUCAGUAUUUAGAGUACAAGUCCGCACCAAAGAAAGUUUGGUUUGGAUAAGCUUUCAAGGUUAAUUUGAAGUUUAACGAAUAUCAACUAGAGGACUAGUUGAAUCAAUAGUGUUUGAUAAUUACAACAUAACAUAGAACAAUUGAGAAUCAUAAAUGAACUGAUUAUACAUAUUAAACUCGUGCUUGAAAUAACUAUAGAGCAUAAGUACUCAACAAAAUGAAUAAAGUGAUAAACCUUUGCUUGAACAGAACAUAUGCUAAGGUUAGAGUCUUAUAACAUUAGAAAUGAAAUUACUGAACAUACAUUGACUGAUAGCAAGCUGGAAACUAAAAACUUGCCUAACAUGGUUUUAAUUCAUGCAAGGAUUAAAAACAGUUCAAUAAUAGAGACGAGCGUUCAAACUGUAUUCAUUAUACAAGAAUAUAACUCAAGAACUUGCUUAAUCAGAAACAAGUUAGAAUGAAUCAACAAAAAUGAGAAUUCAAAUAACAUUAGAGUUAAAGUUUCCUCGAAUGAACUCUAGGGACAAUUGACUUAUUCAAUCAACAGUUGAAAUAUAAAGCUUGCUCAAUCAAAGAAUAAAGCUACAUAAUGUAAUAAUGGAACUAGCUCAACGAAAUUAAAGAAUUAGGAAACUUUCUUAAUGUAAAAGAUAGAGUUUAGAAACUUGCCUCGAGCGUAAGCUACAAUAUUAAACUCACGUUCACCUACACAUUGGUUUAAAACCACAUUAUCUAUUAGAUAUGCUAACAUACCAUAACAUGUACACUUCUAUCUAAAUGUAUCAUUGAAGCACAAGUCUUUCAUUACCAUUUACAUUUUAGAAAUUCCAAGUGUUAUACUUCGCAACACUUAUCUAACUUUUAUUGUAUAUAUUAAGUUAUCACAUAACGCGUUCUCGAUUUACUAAUCACUUUUUAAAAUUUUGAAGUCAUAAUCCACAUAAUAUGACUCUAUUUAACCUUUUUGUUACAUGAUUCUCACACUAACAUAACCUUAAGCUACACUACAAAGAACGACCAAAGUCUGCAGAAAAAACAGACUUCAGUGUCUGAAAAUGGGCACUGGCGCGGCCGCGCGAGUUUUGUAUGGGGAUGCCGCGCGCCCGCACCCAAGGGCCUCACGCUCGCGCCCAAGGGCAUCGCGGCCGCGCGACUUACAAAACUCAGUUUUGCAGAACAGAGUUUCGGCACUUUUCUUAAGCCAACUAACACGAAUUUCACCCAUCAAACAGUGAUAACAACACAUAAAAUAAAUAUACAACUAUCAUAGACAUGGUUGCUAACACAUACAACCACUUAACACAAUUUUACAACCACUAAAACUAUUUUAAUUUCUCAUUUUUCAUGUUUUCAUGAAAAACUCAAUUUUUUUGACAUUCAUCCUAAAAAUCGUGAAUUCAUUACUUGACCAAAUCAUCUCAUUCAAAUUACGUUAUGUUCGUAUCUCAACAAACUAGCAUAAACAAAACUCAAUUAACAUCUUAGUAUGCAAUUUGACCAUCAAAAUUGAUACUUACAUAGCUACAUAUGAAAACAUAAACAAUGACAUCAUUUUCUUUUACUGUUAUCCAAAAAUUAACAUGCGAUUUCCUUAUUUAAACACAACCUCCAGUCAUCAUAUACUCAUAUAAUCACAAGUAAUCCCAUUGUAUAGCAACAAUUCAACAAAUUUGAAAUUCAUAGAUUAUAUAAAAGUUUGCCAUAGCCUCAUAUAUACAUAUACAUAUAUAUAUAUAUAACACUAAUGUUGUGAACAUACCUUCAAUUAGCGUGCAACUCUUGCUAACCCACUAGAAUUGCUUGAAAAUCCUAAGCUUUCUCUCAAUUUCUCUCAACUCUCAAUUCUCUCUAUUGCCUCUAAGCUAGCAAAACUAGAAUGAAGCUCUGAUAGCCAGUAUGCACAAUAACCAAAAUGAAAAAUUGAUAGUCUUAAUAUGCCAACUUAAUUAUAAUAACGGUUACCACAUAAACGUAUAUAAUAUAAAUAUAAAUUAUAUUUAUUAUUUUAAUUUAAUUUAUUUAUUUUAUUUAAAUUCAAAAACUAGAAAUUCAAAGGCCAUAAGGCUUGUUUGGCAAAAACCCUUUAAAUUUUAAAAAAUUAAAAUACCUUUAAACCUUGUUUGGCAAAAACUAAUUUAAAUCCUUUUUAAUUUAUUUUAAUAAACACUUUAAUUUAUAAUUUAUAAUUACAUAUUAUUAUUUGGAUUUCCAUACCCAACAUUAACCCUUUAAAUUAAACACAUACUAUAUUUUAAUUAAAUAUAGCAUUUAACAAAUAUCACAAAAUUAUAAUUUUUAGUAUAACUUUAUUUAAUAAUUUAAUAUAUCAUUUGAAAUUAUUAAUUAAAAAUAUAACACUUCAUGCUAUAUUACAAUUCUCUAAAUUAUAUAUUAAUUUAAUUUAGAAAUAAUUCAUCACAUCAAUAAAAUAUUUAUUUCCUCAAUUCAAUAAUAGACUCAUCAAAUAAAUAUUUAUAUUAUUCAAUAAAUAUUUAAUAAUACAACUUGAAAUUUUGGAUCGUUACAGGUCUACAGUCUAGACAACAUGCUACAAAUAUGUUACAACAACAUCAACAAACAACAUCAUGCCUUACAGAUCUGUACGUUACAAAAACUUGUCAAACCCGAUUACAUGAUUUCUGGGUUACCCAGAAAUCAGCCGAUCAAGCUCGGUCAACGGAGUUUGACCGUUAAUAACUUACGAUCUAGACAUGUAAUCGUUGUGAUUCGACUUCCAAAUCAAAUACCACAUAUUAAACUACAAAUCUAAAACAUAAAAUAUCAAAAAGCAUGAACAAUCAAGAAUCUGGAGCCACUGACAUUGCUUGUCAGACCACUAUGAAUGUUUUUGAGCAGUUUUUGAAAAACAUCAUUUUAACAUUUUGAUGCUAUGAAUCUAUUAUAGAUCAUCAUAGAUCAUCAUAAAACAUCCUUUAGCAAGAUUCUAAACACAUAUUCUAACUAAGCAUACAAGAUCAAAAUAGGUUUAGGGUUUUAUACCUUCUAGUCAAAUCUUUGAUCUUUGUUCUCCAAAUCUGAUCUAGGUGUUCUAAGAGGUUAAAGAGUGACUGAAUUACUUGUUAAAUUCGGAGGUUGAGUGAGAGAGAGAGAGUGAGUUGAGUGUUGGAGUGCAAAUGACCAACUUUGUGGACUUUCUCUCUCUCAAAUCUAUAUAUAUUUAGAUGCAAUGUAUAGAUCUGAUGAAUUGGACUGAUUUUGCUGGAAUUAAUAAGUCACAAAGUCAAAUUAGUCGGUGAACAACUAAAGGUCUUGGAAAAUUCUACAAGUCACCAAUUAAAGAAAUGGAAAAAAGGCAUUUUGGAAAUUUACAAUAUAAUUUUAAUGGCAUUCUUGACUUUUGUCCAAACCCUUAGGGUUAAACCCUAAGGUUUUAACCCUUUAGGUUUUUACAACUUUAGUUUCUAGAAUUUUUUAAUUAGGGUUUUAAUUAGAAAAUUAAGAUUUCAAAUUUAUAAUUAGGGUUUCCUAAUUAAAUUAGGGUUUUCUAAUCAUAUUAAAGUUUUAUAAUCACAUUAGGGCUUGUUAAUUAGGAUUAGGGUUUCCUAAUUAGGGUUUAAGAUUCCCAAAUUUAAAAUUAGGGUUUCCCGGCAUAUGAUUAGGGUUCCUAACUGUGCGUUAGGGUUUCUAAACUUGACAUUAGGGUUUCUAACCCCUUAUUAGGGUUUAUAAAUUUUAAACCUUAUCCGAUCAAUCAUUGAUCAAAAAUUCUAAACACGUACUCAUCAAUACAAUAAUUUUAAUUGUAUUUUCUAUCGAAUCCCUAUCCGGACUUAGGGUUAGAGUUUCUAUUCUCUAUUAAGCAUAACUUUACUCUUAUUUCUCAGUCAAUACACAAAUUGACUAUAUCACAAGACUCAAAUCACAGAUACACAGUACAAUAUUAACAGUCAAUAUCAAUAUUAAAUAAAAAAAAAUUAUUCGUAAAAUUUUGUAUUAUUUGAAAUCCCGGGUUAUCACAGUAAUAGUUAUAACAAACAGUGGCAGAAGAUCAAUGAAUCAAAAUCAUAGUAACAUUAGUAGUAAAGAACAAAAUUGAAGGUCAGAUCUGGCGACAAUUAGAUCAGAUCGAGUACAAUUUUUGCUGACAAACGACAUAUAUUACGCGAUAGAGAGAUUAUAAGAUUGCAUUAUUAGAUCUUCCAAAGAUUCACUUAUCCUUCACCUGAUUAGGCACUAAUUAAGGUGACAUCUUUGGAUUUGAAUUGAUAUGUUUGUAGAUAAAUCCCUGCAUAAAAAUAUUUCACAAACACAACAAUAUUUCACAAGUAAAUAGAGGCAAAUGAACAAGGUCAAAAUUAUAGAAGGAAGAUAAUGGCAAUAAAAUUGAAUUUUGAUAAAGUAACAACUGCUCUCCAAAUAGCUUUAUGUGAAAAACACUUCGGCAUGGGAUAUGAUAUGGAAUGAAUUUUAGUAACAUAUAUCUUGUGUAUCUUGUGUAUGAGUCAUCAAAGAUUAACAGUUUUGAUGAGUCAUAACUAAAUACCCAAGUUACUACAAUAACUUAAUUUUUCAAAUUUAAAAUUCAUUCCUCGAUAGAUUUUCAAUUCAAGAUGGAGGUGAAACAUAAAUAGCGAAGUUGAUGAUUUAAGGUUAACAAGUUAUGUUUUAAAAUGACAAGUCAAUAGACUAGUUGUCAAACCCUACCCACCCCAAAGUGAAGAUCCUUACCCCAAAGUGAAGAUCCUUGCAAGCCAAUGAUAAAACUUCUGGACAUUCAUAAAUUUGAGAGAGAUAAAGAAUGAUUCAAUCCAUUCCAAUACCAACCAAACACAAUUUUUUCCAUUCCAUUCCUACCUUCAUUACUCCAAACAUAACAUAAAAGUUUUGAAUAAAGUGCUAUAUACAUUGAACUUCAAAUUAAUGGUAUAAAUGUUUAUUCAUCCCCCAAAUAUUAUUAAUACAGGAUUAAAGAGACGACACCAAAAUUACAACAAAACUUCAAAAUUCUGAAAUACACCAGCACUCAAAUAAGCAAUAGGCUCAAAGCUGGUUUGGAGGUUUUUGGAGUCCAAAUGGGGAAUUAGUUAUCUUCAUCAGAGUCGAAAGAUUGUUUGUUGUCUAAACGAAGGAGAAAAGUGAUUUAUAUAAACUGAACUUUUGUUCUUACUGUUAGAGUUUAUGCCCUAGAGGCCAAUUAUUUGAUAUAAUUGCUUAACGUUUUGAUAUUAUAUUUGAUUGAAUAAAUAUAUGAUUUUAUUAUGGUUUUAUUUACUGCGUAAUAUAAUUGUUAACAUAAUAAAAUUCCUUAGAAUAGUGAUACAAAUUAUAUAGUUUCAAGUAUGUGACUUGAACAUGAGAUUAUAUAUUACCAUUAGUAUCAGUGUUCUUAAAUGUCCCUAGUCGAGUAUCAUUGUUGAUGGGACAACAAUGAUGCAUUGAGACUAGUAUGUGGAUUGACUGAUGACCAAAUCUCAUUGGUCAUAAAUAUAUGAGAUAUUAAGUCAAUGCAUAGGUACAUGUUAGAGAACGAUGUACUGGACAGACCCACCAUGAGAAUUCUAUAUGGAGCAUUAUGCGAAGUGUCAUUAGCAAUUCUCAUAGUGACAAUGAUGUAAUGGUCCUCCGACCUGAAAUCGCUAUAUUACUACACGAGAAUUUAUGUACUUUGAUAUCAUCAAAUGUCACCUUUAAUAGGGUGGACUAUAAAGGUGAUUAUUGGGUUCAUCAUUAAUCGUGUGAGAAAUAUGAGUGAUCUAGAUGGAAUUUAACCAUCCUAUAUAUUAUGGGUGAUAUCCAUAGGCCUCUUGAUUGAGUAGGACUAUGAAAUGCAUGGCCAUGCUCAAAUAGUGAUUUGUUUCAUAUAGUCUACUCAUUGAUCAAGAAAACUCAGAUUAAAUUAUGAAGAGUAUGACACAUUCCAUGACUCGAGUUUAAUCUAGGAUAUUAAGGUUAAAAGGAUUAAAUUACAUUGAAACAUUGGUCACGAAAAGGUUGCAUCGAAUCAUCGAUCUUAUUAUUACUUGGGUAGCAGUGAUGCAUUACUAGAUGCCGCUCACUGUUUAUAAUUUUAUAAUAUGAUUUUAAAAUUAUUGCCAACGUAAUAAUAACCUAUAGGGUCACACACAUAGAACGUUAUUUAAAAGGGAAUUAAUUUAAAUUUUAAGGAUUUAAAUAUAUUAAUAUGAUUAAUAGUAUUUAAAUCACGAAUUUAAAUUAAAAGGAUAAUUUGUAUAUAUGUAUAUUAAUUAAGUAAGACUUAAUUAAGAGAUAUAUAUAUAUAUAUAUAUAUAUAUAUAAAUUCGGAUUUUAUAAAAUUAGGUUUUGAUUUGAUUAAUUCCUUUUAACUACUAUAUAUAUGAUAUAUAGCAGCUACUUAGGGUAAGAUAUCAUAAUUGAAAAACCCUAGCCGCUCUUAGAGAGAGACUAGAGAGAAAACAGUUUCAGAAAAUCCAUUCCUUUUGGUGGCUAGUACCGCAAGUCCUUCUUAUUGCAGAAUCGUUCGACGGUUCGUGCGGCGUUCGUGUGGAUACCGUAGAGGCGCAAUCGGUUUGUAUUGCGUUGGAGAUUCGAGGCGCAGUCGGUUUCAGAUUCUCGUUUUUUUUUUUAUAUCUGGUAUAAUCUCUAAACCUCUGAAUUAAUUGAUUUUCGCAUGGAUCCUGUUUUAGGGUUUCAGAAAUUGCUUUCAAAUUUUAAUUUCCGCUGUGCGUUUCUGUGCCGAAGCCCAACACUUACUAUUUCUCUCUUGAUUAUAAAAGUGAUUACAAACAUUGGUAUUUAUAGGAUUACAAGAGCAUUCUAGAAUACUUAGCUUAGAAGAAUAAAACUCUAGAGAUUUUUAAUAACCAUUGAUAUACCCAAUACAAAAUAUUAAAUGUUUCAACAUUUUUUUAGAGAUAUUCAAAGAACCAAAUUAAACUAUGAAUGUAGAAAAUCAAGAAUUUGGUUUAGUUUCCCAACAAUGCCUCGCAUAAACCAAAUUUACUUUUUAUUCCCAAACUUGCAACAUUUCUCUUGAAGACUUCUCUACUUAAAGGCUUUGUGAAAAUAUCUGCUAACUGAUCUUCUGUCCUGCAAUACUCCACUUGAAUAAUGCCUUCUUUUACUAACUCUCUUAAGAAAUGAAAUCGAAUACUAAUAUGUUUUGUUCUUCCAUGAAGUACUGGAUCAUUUGUUACUGAAAUGGUUGAACUAUUGUCACAAAAUAGUGUUGUUGGACAAAUCUUCUUAUGCUUCAGACAUUCCAAAAUUCCUUGGAGCCAAACAAUUUGACAUCCUGCUAGAGAAGCAACGAUAUAUUCAGAUUCUGUUGUAGAAAGAGCAACAACAUAUUGUUUCUUUAAACAUCAUGAAAUUGGGCCACUUCCAAGACUAAAAACAUAGCCUGAAGUGCUUUUACUAUCAUCAACGCUUCCUGCUAAGUCACUGUCAGUAUAUCCCACAAGAUUAAUCAGAAUACUAGCUUGAUAAAAAAUACCAUAAUCAACGGUUCCUUUGACAUAUCAUAGAAUUCUUUUUGCAGUCUCCCAAUGAUUAGAGUAUGGUUUCUCCAUGAACCUACUCACUAAACUUACUGCAAAUAUGAUAUUUGGUCUUGUUGCAUUCAAGUACAUCAAAUUUCCCACCAAACUUCGAAACAUAGUAGAAUUCACAAGCAUGCCUUCACCUUCUUUACUUAAUUUUAACCCUGUGAUACAUGGAGUUGAUACAGGAUUUGCAUUCUCCAUUCUGAAUUUCUUUACAAUUUCUUUUGCAUAACUUUCUUGUGAAAUGAAAAUUCCUUUCUUGUUUUGAUGAACUUCAAUGCCAAGAAAAUGAUGCAACUUUCCCAAGUCUGUCAUUUCAAAUUCUUUCAUCAUGGAGUCUUUAAAAUCUUUCAACACUUCAAAUUAUUUCUUGUAAAAAUGAGAUCAUUAACAUAAAGACUUACAACUAUGAAGCUUUCUUGUGAUGUGCCUUUGAUGUAGAGAGUGGGCUCGUACGGACAUUUCCAAAAACCAUUUGUUCAAAGUAUGAAUUGAUUCGGCUAUACCAAGCCCUUGGUGAUUGUUUCAGUCCAUAAAGCACCUUCUUCAAUUUGUAAACUUUGUUUUCUUCUCCCUUCUUCACAAAACCAGGUGGUUGCUCAACAUAAACUUCUUCUUCCAAAAAACCAUUCAAAAAUGCAGAUUUCACAUCCAUUUAAAAUAUACUCCAAUUAUUUUGAGCUGCAAGUGAGAUAAGCAAACGAACAGUGUCAAGUCUAGAAACUGGAGCGAAUACCUUAGUGAAGUCUUCUCCUUCCUUUUGCUUAUACCCCUUUGCUACUAGUCUCGCCUUGUUUUGGUUGAUGGAGCCAUCUGAAUUCAUUUUUGUUUUAUAUACCCACUUUACGCCAAUAGAAAUCUUGUUUGGAGGCAGAUUUGUAAGCUCCCACGUUUCAUUCUUCUCAAUGGCUUUCAUUUCUUCUUUCAUGGCUUGUUUCCACUUUUCUUCUUUUGAUGCUUCAUCAUAAGAAAUUGGAUCUUCUCCUGCAAAGAAAGCAAAAAAUAUAGUAUCAUUUGAAUCAAUAUGCUCGGUUGACUCAUAAAUUUCUCUUAAGCUCUUUGUUCUUCUUUGAGGAGUACUUUGAGGGGACUCAGGAGAGUUUCCACGAUAAGAGUAUCUUGGAGAAAUAGGUUCGCUUUCAUCUUAAGAAUCAUCAUUAGUAUCACAAAAACUUGGCCAAUUUUCAGGAAAAUCAACUCCUGAAUUAAAUGAAGAAUUUUCAUCAAAUCGAACAUCCCGACUAAUCACUAUCUUCUGUGUCACUGGAUUGUACAACUUGUAAGCUUUGCUUCUUUCACUGUAGCCGAUAAAAAUACACUUUUCUGCUUUAUCAUCCAAUUUGUUCCUCAAUGCAUCCAGAAUGUGUGCAUAAGCAACAUAUCCAAAAGUACUCAGGUGACUAACCUUUGGCUUCAAUCCAAACCAUGCUUCAUGAGGUGUGCAAUUAUUCAGACUUUUUGUAGGAGACCUGUUAAUCAAGUAAACAGUACAAGAUACAGCUUCUGCCCAAAACUCUUUAUCUAGCAUUUUCAUUUUCAGCAUGCAUCUUGCCAUUUCCAUGAUGGUUCAAUUUUUUCUUUCACUAACACCAUUUUGUUGUGGUGAAUACCUUACUGUCAAUUCAUGCCUAAUUCCAUCAUUUUUGCAAUACUUCUCAAUUGGAAGAUAUUCACGACCUCUGUCGGUUCUUAUUGUUUUAAUUUGACAACCAGAAAAUUUUUCAGUUUCAGCUUUGAAUUCCUUAAAAGCUUGAAAUGAUUCAGAUUUUUCUUUGAGAAAAUAAACCCAAACUUUUUUCGAGAAAUCAUCAACAAAGGUAAUAAAAUUUUGUUACCUCCAUGAAAAGUAACCGGCAUUGGUCCACAUAAAUCUGAAUGAACUAGUUCCAACACCCUUUUUAAUCUCGACAAAGAUUUUUGAGGAAACGGUUCUCUAUGUUGUUUUCCAAGUUGACAUGCUUCACAAAUCUGAUUUGUUUGAUUAAUUUGAGGAAGUCCUUCAACCAUCUUCUUUGCUGCUAGCGAUUUUAGGCUGUCAUAAUUUAAAUGACCAUACCUGUCAUGCCAUAACUUGGAAAUUCCUUUAUCAAUAGUAGUGAAACAAGAAAUGUUAGCAACCUGAAGUUUUAUAGGAAAAAGAUUAUUUGAAGUUACUCCAAUUGUUGCUAUCAGCUGAUUUCUCUUCGACAAAAAACAAGCAUUAUCAUGAAAAUGAAUAUCAAACCCCUUUUUCAAAAGUGACCGGUGCUAAGCAAAUUAUUUUUUAAACCAGGAACAUAAUAAACUUCAGACAUCUUUUCCAUUUUUCCAGAUUUUGUUUGAAAAAUAACUUCACCAACACCUUGAAUUUUGUAGGCUCUGUCAUCUCCAAUUUUUACCUGUCCAUGGUUAGAUUCAACCAAGUCUGAAAAUAAGUCCUUGUUUUCGGUCAUAUGUUUGCUUGCACCACUGUCUAAAUACCAAACAGCAUCCUUAUCAUCACCUUGAAAUGCCAGCAACAAAGUAUCUUGUACAUCUUUUUCAUCAGUUUUGUUUUCAUGCAUCAAUCCGGUCUCAUUUUGUGUUCCCUCCGUUCUAAACGACAUUUCUUAUAUGUAUGACCAGGUCUAUGACAAUGGUAACAUUCAAAAUAGCCACGAUCUCUUCCUCUUUGAUAGCCACUUCCUCUUUGAUAAUCACGACCUCUUCCUCUUUGGAAGUUUUUGAUCAUAUUUUCUCCACCUUCAUUUGAAUCAUUUUUGUUUACAUAACCUCUUCCUCUGCCUUGAAAAUGAAAGUCUUUACCUCUGAAGUUGCCAUUACCACCACGACCACGACCAUAGUGAAAACCACGACCUCCCAUAAAUUAAACAAGAGCUUGAUCAGGAAGAGGAGAAGGAUUUCUUUGAUUUAUUCUUACUUCAUGAGCCUUCAAGGUCCCUUGCAAAUCUUGAAUAGUAAGAGAUGAUAGAUCUUUUGAUUCUUCAAUAGCUACCACAGCAUAAUCAAAUUUUGGUGAUAAACUACGAAGAAUUUUUGCAACAACUUUCUCAUCAUCUAAAACUUCACCAUUGGAUGCCAUUUGAUUUACAACUGAAUUAACUCUUGUAAAAUAAUCUGAAAUACUUUCAUUCUCCUUCAUUUCUAAUUUUUCAAAUUCUGUUCUUAAGGUUUGGAGGCGUACCUUUUUUACCUUUUCCACACCUUUGUAUGUAAUUUGAAUAAUCUCCCAGACUUCCUUUGAACUUUUAGCUUUAGCAACUCUUUCAUACAUCGGCAUCUCAAUUGUUUGAUAAAUUUGGAAACGCGUCUUGCUGUCCUUCUUUCGAUUUUCUUUCAAAUUAUUUUUCUGUGCAUAUGUCAAAGCAUCCUCAUUUUCUGUAUCAUCAUAUCCUUCAUCCACAAUAUUCCAUAGAUCCAUUGACUUGAGCAAUAACAUCAUAUUGUCUCUCCAAUAAUCAUAAUUUUCUUCACCAAAUCGAAGGAUAAGUGAAAUCAUGUUAUUGGAAUUCGCCAUCUCUUUAAUGCUUCAUAGCCCGCUUUUUCUUCUCUACUACGAAUCUGUUAAGCUAUUGCUCUGCUUUUUUACUUGUGAUAAAAAAAUUAUGCUUGGAGACAGUACCUCUUAUUAUAACGUAGGACUCGCCACUUAAUUAUAUGAAUAACAAAACUUGUUCCUUUAAAAUAAAGCUUCAAAAAUUUUCAGAAUAAUAACCCUUGCUGCACCGUACAAUAAAAUACUUGGCUGUUUGUGAUAUGGUCACCCUGAAGCUGCUGGUCACGUGGCUCUUUGACUACCCAAAUGUAGUGCAGUGCUAGAAAAUCACUUGCUCACUUUAGUACUCCAUCUGCUGCUGUUGUAAUGCGUCCGACUUUUGAUACUAAGACACGUUAUCACUUUGAUUGGGAGAAUGGACUUAGCAAUUUACCAAGCUCUGAUACCAAUUUGUAGUCUAAACGAAGGAGAAAAGUGAUUUAUAUAAACUGAACUUUUGUUCUUACUAUUUUUCUCUUGAUUAUAAAAGUGAUUAUAACUAUUGGUAUUUAUAGGAUUACAAGAAUAUUCUACUUAGCUUAGAAGAAUAAAACUCUAGAGAUUUCUAAUAACCAUUGAUAUACCCAAUACAAAAUAUUAGAUGUUUUAACAUUUGUUUAAAGAUAUUCAAAGAACCAAAUUAAACUAUGAAUGUAGAAAACCAAGAAUUUGGUUUAGCUUUCCAACAUUGUCAUUUUCUCAAAGAUUCAAUUACAGCCGGUGGCUUUUUACCUUUGACAGAUGUUCCUCCCAUGGAAGUUUUGAGCUUGGGCACACUCGUGGCACUGAGCGGCGGCGUGGAUGCACCUCGAUUCACUUCCCUGAGCACAGAUGGAGCUGUGACCUCAGCCACUGCAUUUGCCACAGCUGAAGCCACUUUUGAAUUGGUUUUCUGCUUCUCACUGAAUUUCUUCCGCAUGGUACUUCCAUUCACAACCUUGGGAUCGCCUGGUGAACGAUAUGUGUCUGGUUUUUGCAUGGUAGCAACAGCAUCAGCAGCUGUUGAGUUAACCUUGAUUGACUCGUACUUUUGAAUGUCAUAAACGAGCGCUUUCUGGAGCUGCUUAUCAGCCACCAAAAUAUCGUCAAUCUCAUUCUUGUAGUCCUUGAGGAUGGCUCGGAGGCAUUCCAUAAGGGAACCGAUGAGUGGGCUAUUCUUGCUCUCUAGGAGCCGUUUCAACUAUAUAAAGAUGGGAAUGGUGUUUUGGACUAGGCCCUUUCUGUCAGCUUGAGUUAUUACCCUUCCUCUGACAGCAGCUGCAGCUGCUCCUCCACUGUCUCCGCCUUCUUCAUCCAUGUCUGCUGAGUCAGAUGAUGUUCCACGGUUGGAUGGUAUUCUGAUCUCUUUGCAGGAGAAAAUUUGGAAGGCAUCCUAUUUCAUAAAUUACAAAAGACAAUUGUACAUGAAAGAUAUAUCAACCUACAAAUACAUUAACUAAUAACUAACGUUCUCUGUGCUACCGAACUGAGGAAGAAUUAAAUCAGAGGCAAGCAAGUGAAUAUUACAAGCUAAGCCCAAGAAUCAGCUUCAGUGAUUUUUUUUUUUUUGUUUUUUGGGUGGUUGUUGCAGACACCAUCUAUCAAUUAUCAGAAUGCACCACAUCCAAGAGGAUGCUGGCACCAUAUUAUGGUUUAUGUAAUACGAACAAACUAUUUGUGGAUGUAUUACGUGUGUAUGAGACAGAUAGAGGGAGAGAGGAACUGCAGAACAGACUGCCCAGUAGCAUCCUCUAUUUUGAGCAGACCAUCUGAAGCUGCAGCAAGAAUCUCCGCACAUACUUUUGCGAAUGUAGCUAGAAGGUGCUCUGGAGCCAUUUGUUUCAGCAAGGAAAUAUAUAUGUGCAUUCUCUCAGACCUCGACUUCUCAUCAUUACCUCUGUUAAAAUAAAAUAACUGUUAUCAGCUUAAAAGCUCAGUAUGACAUCUUUAUGGCAACUUUAAAGCAGCUACAAAACUUUGACAACUAUAACUUACCUAAUGGAGAAAAGUCGGCUUUCACUUCUGGAACUUUGAGAAUUGCUAUGUCCAGUAUGGGCAUUGCAGUCGUUAAGAACAAAAAUUGCUUCCACAAAACUGUUAUAAGCUAACAGUGGUGCCUUGGCUGCAAAUACAUUACAAAUGAAGUCAAUUUGAUGGUGUAUAUAGAUAUUCACUUCCAGAAGAAUGCAAAUGAUGGCUAGUGAAAGCAUUAUGACCUUUUAAGAUAUUUCCAAAUAGGAAAUCAGCUAGACGUCUUAUUUUCUCCGAUUCAUCCACGAGUGUUACUAGAAACCGAAGAAAAAGAACUCCUCUCCACUUCACGUAGUCUCUCUGAAAUGCAACUACAAAGUCAAACAAAGCCCUCUGAUAUUCAAAAAUGGAAAAAUGUAAAAGGGUCUUGAGUAACAAAAAGUAAACCUGUAACAAUCUGGAGAGUAGUAUAAAAGUCUGCCUUCGAACAAGUUCACAAGGAUCGCGAAGACAUUUUGUAAUUUUUGAUAUAUGACUGUUGAAAUUCACCGACAAAGUAAGACUAUUUGUAAUGAACUAGCUUAAUUAGUUCAAUACCUUAGCAACUGUAAUGGAACAAGUCUCAAUAAUUGGACCUAUCCAGUGAAUUUUGACAGAGAAAUAGAAUAAGGAAGAGGGGGAAAGAGAGGAUAAUAGAGAGAGAAGAGAGAAUUGGGGAAGAAGCAAUAACAGAUUUUAUUCAUAAUUUUCCAUACAUCACUAUUGAGCAGAUUAUAUCACACCCAAUUGGUUAGCUAGCUCAGCGCAUGCUUUCCUCACUCACUCGACUGAAACAGAAAUAAGGAACAAAAAGACAGAAGUAAUCUUUCUGAACAAAAGACACUAAUAACCUGACUUGGGAAGAGAAAAAGACUGUGAUACCCUUAUUAACUAAUUAACUAACUGCAGCAUCCUAGCAACAGACUCUUCCUCCAUCCUUACAGUCCCUCCCUCUUAAAAAGAUCCUUGUCCCCAAUGAUGGAAAUGAGGAAAUUUCAGGUGAAGCUGGUCCCAAUCUUCCCAGGUGGCUUCGGAUGGUAGAGAGUUUUCCCAUUGCACCAACAGUUCAACACUAGCUGCAUUGUUUUUCUUAAUCAGCCUCUUGUCAAGUAUUGCCAGAGGUUCUGCUAGGAAAUGACCAUUUGCAUCCGCAGGAGGCAAAGAAGGAGAAGAAGUGCAACCGGAGGCAAAGAAGGAGAAGAAGUGCAACGCUGACCAAUCUUCUUUUUGAGCAGUGAUACAUGGAAAAUAGGGUGAACCUUAGUGUGGCCUGGCAGCUGCAAUUUAUAAGCCACAGCUCACACCUUGGCUUCAACCAUGAAUGGUCCAUAAUACUUAGGAGUUAGCUUUCCAAAAGGGGUCUGAGCAAGGGUGACCUGUCUGUAAGGCCUGACCUUCAAAUAAACCAUGUCCCCUGGUACAAAUGUUCGUUCAGAUCUAUUCCGGUCAGCAUAAUACUUGAUCCUUGACUAAGCUUCCACCAGGUUUUGCUUAAGCAUUCUGAGCAGUUGGGACUUGUCUCUGCAAAACUGCCUAGUAUUAGGGUCAUGUACCCUUCCCCACUGAUGGAAAGACAAAUGGGAAGGCUUAUACCCAUACAACAUUUCAAAUGGGGAAGCUUGUAAACCAUUGUGGAAAUGGGAGUUAUACCACCACUCAACUAAGUCCAACCAAGCAGUCCAGCCGUGUGGCUUUUGGGAUACCAUACACCUAAGAUAGCAUUCUAGAAUUUGGUUGAUCCUUUCAGUUUGACCAUCGGUUUGGGGAUGGUAAGCUGUACUCAUUUGCAGUUUAGUACCCACCAGUUUGAAUAGGGAUUGCCAAAAGAGGCUAAUGAAGAUUUUGUCUCUGUCAGAGACUAUAGAAGAAGGUAGGCCAUGUAGUUUGUAUAUGUGAGUAAUGAACAGCUGGGCUAGAUGAGCAGCAGUGAAAGGGUGUUUGAGAGGAAUAAUAUGGCUAUAUUUAGCAAGUCUAUCCACCACUACCCAAAUGACUGUCAUACCAGCAGAACUAGGCAGACCUUCUAUGAAGUCCAUGGUGAUAUCAGUCCAGGGAGUAUCUGGAACUGGAAGAGGCUGGAGCAAACCUGGAGCAAGAACAUUUUCAUGUUGUUGCUGGCAUACAUCACAUUCUUUAACAAAAUCAGUUACAUCUUGCCUUAAUGUUGGCCACCAGAAAUAUUGAUUAAUUCGUUCAUAGGUACCCCUUAUCCCAGAAUGUCCACCAAUAGGAGAGCUAUGGAACUCCUAUAAGAACUUCCUCCUUAGAUCAGAAUCUGGCCCCAACACCAAUCUAUUCUGGAACUUUAGUCUACCACUGUUAAAAGAGUAUCCAGGUAAGCUACUGGGGUCCAUUUGUAGUUGCAGUAUAAGCUCCUUAAGUCCUUCAUCUUUCUCCCAAGAGUGAGAAAUCUCCUGGACCCAGCUUGGUAUUGUUGUUGUAACCAGAUUGAGCUCACCAACUUCUUCAGUUUUGUCCAAUUGAAAAGGAACCUCCCUAGACAAACUGUCAGCCACUACAUUUUUUUUCCCUUUCUAUAAAUUAUCUCAUAAUCCAACCCUAUAAGUUUUGUGAUCCAUUUUUUUUGAUUGGUUGUUGUAAUCCUUUGGUCUAAUAGAUACUUUAAACUCUGGUGGUCUGUCUUGAUGAGGACUUUGUUCCCUAACAGGUAAUGCCUCCAUUUAUUUACUUCAUGAAUGUCAUAGUGGGAGGCAUCGGUUUCCAAUACAAAAGCUUCAUUAAAAUUAGGCAUGGUAAGGACUGAGGCUUAUGUCAUAGCUUCCUUAAGAGCCAUGAAUGCUUCAGUUGCCUGGUCAGACCAUUUGAAGCUAUCUUUCCUGAGUAAAUUAGUAAGGGGCCUGCUUAUCAACCCAUAAUUCCUGAUGAACCUCCUAUACCUCCUGUAGUAGCCAGUUAGGCCUAGAAAUCCCCUCAACCCUUUUAUAUUCUUAGGCACAGGCCAUUCCAUCAUGCAUUUAAUUUUAUCUGGAUCAGUUGCCACCCCUUGUGGAGAUAUGAUGUGGCCUAAGUAUUGAAUAGAAUCUGUCCCGAAAACACAUUUACUCCUUUUGGCAAAAAGUUUGUAAUCUUGUAGCAGUUUGAGGGUCAGUCUUAAGUGUUACAAUUGUUCAUCAUAAUCCUUACUAUAAACUAGUAUAUCGUCAAAAAGACGAGGACAAAUUUUCUGAGGAAAUGCUGGAAUACCUGGUUCAUUAGUGACUGGAAUGUGGCAGGAGCAUUUGUGAGCCCAAAAGGCAUCACCAAGAAUUCAAAAUGGCCAUUAUGAGUCCUAAAAGAAAUUUUUUGUAUGCCAUCUUUAUGUACCUUGAUUUGAUGGUAUCCGGAUCUUAAAUCAAGCUUGGAAAACCACCUAGAGCCAUGUAACUCAUCCAGCAACUCAUCAAUGGCAGGUAUAGGGAACCUAUCCUUGAUGGUCAUAGGAUUUAGAGACCUGUAAUCAACACACAACCUCCAUGUUUCAUCUUGUUUUUUGACUAAAAGAACUGGAAAAGCAUAUGGGCUAUUGCUUGGUUGAAUUACACCAUUCUGUAGCAUCUCCUGCACAAUCUUCUCUAUUUCCUCCUUCUGAACAUAGGGGUACCUAUAGGGCCUGAGACUGACUGGUUGACUAUCCUCCUUAAGCUUUAUGUGAUGGUCAUGGGUCCUCCUAGGUGGAAGACCCUUUGGUUCCUGAAAUACCUCCUGGAAAUCCUGAAAUAACCCUUGCAUCUUAGGACAGGUUUCAGCCAACUAGACUAUUUUGGAUCCCUUCUGCUAGGGCUGUUAUGGCUAUCUGUUCCUUCCUGGACCUUGUCCUCCUCUGGAUGUAUCCCAAAUAAAUACCCAAAAUAACCAUGGGUAGCAGAUUGUAAUGUUUGGCUGAACUCCCCAUAAUUCAUCAUUUAAAUGGUAGGUGUCACAUGGUCAGAUUCACCUUGUAAGACAAUAGUUUUCCCUUUUCUGGUAAUAGUCAGUUGUAGGUUCUGGAAGUCGAAGGUUAUCGGAUUGAAGAGCUUCAACCAUUGUACACCUAGGACAGCAUCUAUUCCCCCCAGAGGCAGUAUUCUAAAGUCAGUAUUGAACUCUUCCCCUUGAAUGGACCAAUGCAAUUGAGGACAAAACUGACUACUAUUCACCUUGAACCCAUCUGCUACAGUUACUGUCAAGUUACUGCUGCCAUUUAUACCAGCCUUGAUUGCUUUGGCUGCUUGAGGAUCCAAAAAAUUGUGGGUGCUGCCACUAUCCACCAGAAUUCUCAGGAAUUUACCAUUGGCCAUUCCCAACAGCAUGACUGUGUUAUUAGUGCUGUGACCCGAGAGAGCAUGCAAUGUGAUUUGGGCUUCAGGUUCCUCACAACUAACAGUCCUUAUUUCCUCCUCUGUACACUCGGCUUUUUCAGAUUCCUCCAAUGCAUCCUGGUCAGAGGGAAGUAACAUGAACAACUGGGGUCUUUUGCAUACAUGUCCCUGAACAUAGGGCUCAUCACAGGAGAAACAUAUCUUCCUUCUCCACUUAUCAUUCAUCUGUUCCCUAGUGAAUCCCUUUAUUGGCAAGGACCUCAUAUUGUCAACCUGGUUCAUUUCUGCAGGUUUGGCCUGAGGAAGGGAAACAACUGCAGGUUUUGGGGAAAAAAGGGUAGAGAUAGUUUUAGGAGUAAAAACAUUUGCAGACAUUCUGUUGACCCCCCUACUUCUCUUAAGCCAUGCUUCUAAUUUGGCUUCUUCAACCCUUGAUAAUCUGAUUAACUCCUUAAGGUCCCUUGGUUUAAGCUCCUGCACCCCCAAUUGGAUUUCCACCUUUAAUCCACCCAGGAAACAGUCCAUGAAGAAGGCCUCAUUAAGAGAGGGAUUCCUAGCCAAUGCCCAUCCUUUCAACUCCUCAGAUUUGCUUCUAUACUCAUCGACUGUGUCAUUCUGCUGCAACUUUUUCAACUCUCCAAUAGGAUUUUCACUUGCUUCAGGACUAACCUGGCAAAUAUCUCCUCCACUAAACCAGCCCAUGUUAGUUCCUGACCAUGUUGUACAAACCCAGAGUACCAAGCUUCAGCCUCUCCUUCCAGAUUCAUAGUACUUAGGUAAAUUUUCUGGUGCUCAGGCACCACAUGAUGAGCAAACAGCUUAUUGCAUCUUCUAACCCAUGAUCUAGGAUUAAUUCCAUCAAAUUUUGGGAAUUCAAACUUGAUGGUUCUGAAGAUAUCAUCAAAUUUAUCUCCCUUAAGAGCAUUUUCAUAGGGUCCCAGAACAGAAAUAGAUGAAGGACCCUGGUUACCUAUGUUAUUUGGGUCCGACUGCUGCCUCUGAAUAUUCAGGAGGGUAUCGAAAUUCUUCAUCAUCUGCUCCAUUUUUGAAUCAAACCCCUGCUGCAUCGUUGAUACCGAACCCAACUGUGCUUGCAGCUCUUGAACCUGCGUCUCUAAGUUGCUCAGUCGCUGAUUGUUUGUAGCCAUAAUCCACAGUUUCGCCUGGCUCUGAUACCAACUGUAAUGAACUAGCUUAAUUAGUUCAAUACCUUAGCAACUGUAAUGGGACAAGUCUCAAUAAUUGGACUUAUCCAGUGAAUUUUGACAGAGAAAUAGAGUAAGGAAGAGGGGAAAAGAGAGGAUAAUAGAGAGAGAAGAGAGAAUUGGGGAAGAAGUAAAAACAGAUUUCAUUCAUAAUUUUCCAUACAUCACUAUUGAGCAGAUUAUAUCACACCCAAUUGGUUAGCUAGCUCAGCGCAUGCUUUCCUCACUCACUCAACUGAAACAGAAAUAAGGAACAAAAAGACAGAAGUAACCUUUCUGAACAAAAGACACUAAUAACCUGACUUGGGAAGAGAAAAAGACUGUGAUACCCUUAUUAACUAAUUAACUAACUGCAGCAUCCUAGCAACAGACUCUUCCUCUAUCCUUACACUAUUAAAGAGAGAAAUUCAAAUCUUGUUCUGACCUACAGCAAUAAGAGCCCUUACCUAACAACCAGAGCAGUAUACCGCACACAAAAAUCCAUCAUCACUACAACAAUAUUAUUGCGAAGUGGUGCAGAGUCACUCUUUUCAAGUUCUUGCAGCAAUACAUACAUAAGAAAUUGUUACUCAGAAAUUAGCCAAAACUAUUAAUUGACAACCAAUAAAUUUAGCUCUUUUAAAUUAUUGGGGAAAAAAAGAUAGCACUUAAAAGCUUAUACUAUUCAUGAAUGUUAGUAAAUUAAUAUUAUGUGGAUAGAUUUAUUUUUAUGAAUUAUAGAUAUUCCAUCAUGAGAUCGUGACCUUUUAGAUUUUUUAUUCUUGAUUCUCGCAUGACAUAUAUAUAAUUAAGAAAAAGUAUGCAAUAAAUUUGUUUACAAUUAAAAUCCAUAAUAUUUCAUGCCAUGGUUGCAAUUAAUGUAAGUGUUGGGCCAUAAUACUUUAGACAUGUUGAGGUGGGUCUUGAAAGUAUUAGGUCGGUUCGUUGGGCCAGCCCAUUGGGUGGAUAUUAUCUUUAUUUUGGGGCCUAUGAAAUAUUGGGCUGUGACAGUGGGCCAGAUUACUAGAUGAGUAUGGUUCCACUUGGGCUUUGACCGGUGUAGAUUGGGGAUAGAACUUUAACUGUCAUCUUUGCAUUGCAUUUAAUGAGGAUUGGACAGGGCUUAGUCGACUAAAGGGUGUGGGCCCGGGGAAGUCAGUUGCAUACAGGACAAACCGGACUUUGGGGAUAUAAAGCAAGGAUGACACACGGUGGAAGGUAACUAAUUAAUUAUUACUCUCAAGUCACUAGAUAUUUAUUCCUCCAUUGUUAACCUUGUGAUCGCCUGUACUGACUCUCACGCCGGAGCUAUCCCCCGACGGUCAAGCCGUCAAGCUUUUGGUGUUGACUGUGUUUACUGUGCAGGAUAUCGGACGCGUCUUGGUGAUUGAGACAUGGAGGAAGAUCUUGGCGUUAACAUUGGCGCUAGAAGGAGGGUUGUGUUCUAGUGUUCUUGAAGUUUUCAAUCACAAAUUGUAGCUGCUCUACGUCGGAAUCCAUGGUGAAGAAGAGUAGAACAGUUACCUCUAAAGGAUACCUGAUGGUUAUGACUUUGUCUACACAAUGAGUAUCUGUCAAGGAUUGAUUGGGUCCUUCAAAGAGUGCUCAUGCUGGUAUUGCUUCCAAGCAGGUUUCUGAGGGUUCUCGUUCAAGAGCCCAAGGUGAUGCUAGAAGAAGAUUAAUUUUUACUGCCCAGAGAAGACCUGACCAUGGUCGAAAAAGGGUAGAAGGCAUAUUGCUUAGAAUCCUAUACCGAAAUGGUCAGACUGACAGACCGAUCAAGUUAGAAAGAAGUCUACACUUUAUGUCUCGAGGCCGUCCUCGGGAUCGAAGCAGACCCAACAGCCAUUUUCCUGAUUGAUUGACCGAGAAGGGUAUUCCGCCCUAUUGGUCUUCGGGAUUAUGGUCGAAGCAGAGUAGAUGAAGACCCAACAGCUAUUUUCCUGAUUGAUUGAUCGAGAAGGGUAUUCCGCCCUAUUGGUCUUCGAGAUUAUGGUCGAAGCAGAGUAGAUGAAGACCCAACAGCCAUUUUCCUGAUUGAUUGACCGAGAAGGGUAUUCCGCCCUAUUGGUCUUCGGGAUUAUGGUCAAAGCAGAGUAUAUGAAGACCCAACAGCCAUUUUCCUGAUUGAUUGACCGAGAAGAGUAUUCCGCCCUAUUGGUCUUCGGGAUUAUAGUCGAAGCAGAGUAGAUGAAGACCCAACAGCCAUUUUCUUGAUUGAUUGACCGAGAAGGGUAUUCCACCCUAUUGAUCUUCGGGAUUAUGGUCGAAGCAGAGUAGAUGAGGACCCAUCUCCCACUAUUGAGGAAUUUCGGGUGCCGUCCGAAGCUGCAGAUGUUAUUCGGAGGGUUCAUGUGGAUAUUUGUGUUAGCUAAAUGAUUUGAUUCCACAUCAGCCACCAAAAGGUUAUAUUCGAUUUUAUCUCCUAUACCUCUUGCUGUCUGGGGGGUAGUCGUACUGGGUCCAUUGCCUAGGGAUCAGGUUAACAGGCGCCAGCUCAUGGGAUCGAAGUUUAAAACAUUCAUGAGGGACUUCGGUAGCUCAUCCAUAGUUUGACAGGCACAGCAAAUGCCACCUCGGUGUUAGGAGGUUCGGGAGGACUCGCUGACCAUUCGAUGGUAGCCUCUUCGGCAGGUGGUCAUCUUUUGGCAUUGUCAGGCCCUUCGUGGUAGGCAAUUGUCGUCACUUAGACCUUGUCAGGCCCUUCGUGGUAGGCAAGUGUCAUCUUUUGGCAUUGUCAGGCCCUUCGUGGUAGGCAAUUGUCGUCACUUAGACCUUGUCAGGCCCUUCGUGGUAGGCAAGUGUCAUCUAUUGGCAUUGUCAGGCCCUUCGUGGUAGGCAAUUGUCGUCACUUAGACUCCGUCAGGCCCUUCGUGGUAGGCAAGUGUCAUCCUUAGGACUUCGUCAGGCCCUUCGUGGUAGGCGAAUGUCAUCUUAUGGUUUUGUCAGACUUCGUCAGGCCCUUCGUGGUAGGCGAAUGCCAUCUUAUGGUUUUGUCGGACUCCGUCAGGCCCUUCAUGGUAGGCGAAUGUCAUCUUUUGGUUUGGUUAGGCCUUUUGGGGUAAACAAAUUCCCAAUGAAGCAGAUCUGUCUCACACUUCGGUAACUAAAUAAGUAUCUCUUUACUUUAUUACCUAAACCUAAAUUUUUUCUAAGUGUCGAGUUCGGAAUGCCUCAUUCUUUGACUUGAUCUUAUCUGUUAUAUGACUUGCUUAGUUAUUGACUAAACAGUUUAAGAUUAUACAUUUUUCACGUUGAUUGAUGAUGAAUUAUUGACAAGAAAUGGUCAAAGGUGUAAUAAGGAUAAGGAUUUGUUAAUCAUCUCAUUGAUAUCUAACUGUUUACAAAGGAGAAAGGUCUUUUCAGGGAAUCCUAAAGCUUCGGAUGAUAUCUUUAAGCUUCCUUAUUGUCCUCGCUGUCUGAAGAGUCGAGGAGAGUCGGGUUCACUUUGGCCAAUACAAGUUUGGCUUUGUAUUUGCUUCAGCAAUCCUCGUAUCCUUCAAAGUACAUGUGGACAACUUCAUUGUUCAGCUCGGUGGACUUCCUGUAAUUUACUUCAAUCUCCUCGCAAAGUUAAUCAGUUAAUGGUGGGCCCAAAUCCCUAAGAAUUUGGAGUUCUCGAAGUUCCUCUUCAAGCUUUUGACGAUGGGCCAUAUGCUCUGCAUCUUUAGCUUGGAUAUCUUUAUUUUGCUUCGACAGAACUGAGUUGGAUUGGGCCAGAUCUUUGAUUUUCUUCGCCAAAAUUUCAUUUUUCUUCAGAAAAUCGAUAUUUAUAUCAGUGAUGACUUGAUGAGGGGCCCGGGACGUUUUUAAAUCUUCUUUAGUUUGGGCAAGUUCUUUCUGAAGGCACUCAUUAUCGUGAAGAGCAACUUUGAGACUACUUCUGUCUUUCAUCAAAGCAGACUUAAGCAGGGUAUUCUCUCUUCGAGCAGCUUUCUCUUCGGCUUCGGCCUCUUGGUAUUUGGGACGGAGGCGUCCGAAGACAGUGUUUGCCUGCGGAUGAUCAGUGUCCAUGAUAGAGUUGUUUCUGAACCGGUGGUUGUCGGUAUUAUGAACGAAGGAGUUGUAGAGCUCAAAUGGGAAUUUCUCUUCUGAUUCUGGCUAGAGAAGGGGGGAUUCCGGGUCUUCGGGCCUGAAGUCCUAGGAGGUUGGUUGUCUUUUUCGAGCAAGUUUGGGUGAUCGCUCCACUUGCUCUUCGGGCUCUUCGUCAGAAACAACGAUUUCAACCGGGAUGGUUGGCGGAAGAUCGGUUUCUGUUAGAAAUACUUGUGGUUCUUCGGAGGCCGGAGAAUUUGCUUGGGUUUUUUUCUUCUUGGCGCGAAGGAUUCGGGUCCGUUCGUCAGAGGGCAUAUCGAGGAGGCACUUGGUGUGAUUUUGCGUGGGGGUGUGUUUGGGUUUUCGGCCAGCUUGCUUUCUUCGGCGAGGUUGGCUUGUCCCUUCGGUAGGAGUUGAUUCGGUGGCUUGAAGCUCUUCAGUUGGUACAUCGGCAGGGGUUGGCGAAGAUGUACCAGAAAGAAAUCUGUCUAUAUCCCUUCGGUCGAUUGAUGUUGGUUUGAUCAGAGACACUGCAACAGAUGAAGAACAAUUGUUUACGAGAACUACUGAUGGAAAUUGGGAGUUAAACAAUAGAGUGGAUUCGAGACUUACAGUUAUGGUCAUACAACCAUGCUUGUUUACUCAGAAGUUCGAAGCUCCCUUCCUUAAUGUGAAUCUUCUCUAGAAGGCUCACCAUUUCUCUCACUCGUUCCGUUGAAAUAUUUCUGAAGUUUGCAGAGAUACAAUCGGAAGUGAUCCAGUUAGGCAUGGAAGAGACUUCGUGUCCUUUGACAAAAAACCACUCCUUAUGCCAUCCUUGGUUACUCGAAGGAGUGUCCAUUAGUGGUCGCCUCUCGAACCUGGCAUUAGGUUUGGAAGAUUGUUUGCUCAGAACCUUGAGAAGCCAUUGUUAGCAAUUUUCAGAGAAGGGAAAGAAAGCUUGAAGGUCCGAAAUUCAAAAUUGGCAGCAAUGAUUGUGAAUUUGAAGAGGUAGCGUGCGGUUUCGGCCUUCAUUGUUGACCGAAGUGGGCUUCUCUAUUUGGCUUCCGGUUUCUAUUUGAAUUGUUGUUUGAGAUUUACCUAUUGGACCUCGGUAAGUUGUAUCUUGGGCCUUUAUUGAUCUCAUUAUAAUUCCUUUUAUUCUGGACCGAUUCCACUUAUACUCUUUCAUUAAACCUCCUGUUUAAUAAAAGACUGGGGGGCAAUGUUGGGCCAUAAUACUUUAGACAUGUUGAGGUGGGUCUUGAAAGUAUUAGGCCGGUUCAUUGGGCCAGCCCAUUGGGUGGAUAUUAUCUUUAUUUUGGGGCCUAUGAAAUAUUGGGCUGUGACAGUGGGCCAGAUUACUAGAUGAGUAUGGUUCCACUUGGGCUUUGACCGGUGUAGAUUGGGAAUAGAACUUUGACUGUCAUCUUUGCAUUGCAUUUAAUGAGGAUUGGACAGGACUUAGUCGGCUAAAGGGUGUGGGCCCGGGGAAGUCAGUUGCAUACAGGACAAACCGGACUUUGGGGAUAUAAAGCAAGGAUGACACACGGUGGAAGGUAACUAAUUAAUUAUUACUCUCAAGUCACUAGAUAUUUAUUCCUCCAUUGUUAACCUUGUGAUCGUCUGUACUGACUCUCACGCUGGAGCUAUCCCCUGACGGUAAGCCGUCAAGCUUUUGGUGUUACUGUGUUUACUGUGCAGGAUAUCGGACGCGUCUUGGUGAUUGAGACGAGGAAGAUCUUAGCGUUAACAGUAAGGUUGCUCCUUCUUUGAAAAUUUAUCUGUAAAAUUGAAGGCAAAAGUGAUUUAGAACCAUAGCACAGAAGUAAUGCUAAAUACAAACCACACCUCCACAAACAGAGGAAUGUAACGCUUUGCAAGUUUCCCAUCAGCAAGGCAGAUCUUGCCCAUUGCUAGCCAAGCUUGAAUGUACAAAGAAGGUGCUGUCUGCUUUAUAGAUAUUGCUGGCCUCAGUAAUUUAUCAAAUUUUGGGUCAGAACUUCCUGAAGUGAUAAUUCUGUGUAAAACUGGAACAAUGGCUUUUAAGUUGGCUGAAGGACAAAUAAUAACCAAUGAUCCAAUAGUAUAAACAGCAGUAAUUGCUUGCGACAAUAAUCUAGACAUGGUUGCUGUAGCUCUUUUGCCCUUCCUACUUAGAGUAGGUGGUGUAAAAAACCUACUGUCUUUAGUUGCUUCUAAGUCCUUCGACAUGUAUGCUUCUAGAAUUUUGGAAGCUUUAGAAAGCAGCUGGUACACCCAUUUCAUAACAAGGGAAUCAGCCUCCUCAGUAUUUAAAGCCUUCUGUUUGCAUAAUGUUCUGAGUGCUUUUAC
This 56300-nucleotide long non-coding RNA is filed under the name Panax ginseng (ginseng). Its description in RNAcentral is "long non-coding RNA (PGIN_LNC000565)". The record is from RNAcentral. Lineage: Eukaryota; Viridiplantae; Streptophyta; Magnoliopsida; Apiales; Araliaceae.